This 77477-nucleotide long non-coding RNA is filed under the name Solanum lycopersicum (tomato). RNAcentral describes it as "long non-coding RNA (SLYC_LNC001342)". The record is from RNAcentral. Lineage: Eukaryota; Viridiplantae; Streptophyta; Magnoliopsida; Solanales; Solanaceae.
CUGCAUCUGCGUAACCAAACAGUUCUGAUUUGGAUUCAUUGGAAUAGAAUAAACCCAUGUCCAUGGUCCUUCGAAGAUAUCGAAGUAUGUGUUUAACACCAUUCCAAUGUCUUUUUGUUGGGGAGGAACUGAAUCUUGCCAGUAGACUUACUGCAAAACAGAUAUAUGGUCGAGUAUUGUUAGCAAGGUACAUUAGUGUCUCGAUCGCACUAAGAUAAGGAGUUUCAUCACCAAGAAGCUCUUCAUCAUUCUCUUGAGGUCGAAAUGGAUCUGUAUUGAUGUCAAGCGAUCUUACCACCAUUGGAGUACUCAAUGGAUGUGAGUUAUCCAUGUAAAAACACUUUAGUAUCUUUUCUGUGUACGUUGAUUGAUGAACAAGUAUUCCAUUUGACAAAUUCUCAAUCUGUAGGCCAAGACAAAAUUUUGUCUUGCCGAGAUCUUUCAUUUCAAAUUCUUUUUUCAGACACUCAACAACUUCUAAAAGCUCUUUAUGAGUGCCAAUGAUGUUCAAAUCAUCAAUAUACACAACUAUUAUUACAAAUUCAGACCCCGACCGUUUAAUGAAAAUGCAGGGACAAAUCGGGUCAUUUUUGUACCCUUUCUUUAACAAAUAUUCACUCAGACGAUUGUACCACAUCCUUCCUGAUUGUUUCAAUCCAUACAGAGAUUUCUGAAGUUUUAUUGAACAAGUUUCUCUUGAAUCUUUGUAUGCUUCAGGCACUUUGAAUGCUUCAGGAAUUUUCAUGAAAAUGUUAUGGUCCAAUGAGCCAUAUAGAUAGGCUGUGACAACGUCCAUUAGACGCAUUUCAAGUUUUUCAUGAAUAGUCAGAUUUAUGAGAUAUCUGAAGGUGAUUGCAUCUACCACUGGAGAAUAUGUCUCCAUAUAAUCAAUGCCAGGUCUUUGAGAAAAACCUUGAGCAAUGAGUCGAGCCUUAUAUCUCAUGACUUCACCUUUCUCAUUUCUUUUUCGUACAAAAACUCAUUUGUACCCCACUGGCUUGAUACCUUCAGGUGUUCGGAUUAUCGGUCCAAAAACUUCACGUUUUUCUAGUGAAGCCAAUUCAGCUUGAAUUGCAUCCUUCCAUUUUGGCCAAUCAUUUCUCUGUUUACAUUCGCGAACAGAUUUUGGCUCAAAAUCUUCAUCUUGUUGCAUUAUUUCAAUAGCAACAUUAUAGGCAAAUAUGUUGUCAAUCACAACAUUAUUUUGGUUCCACAACUUUCUUGUCGAGACAUAAUUCAUUGAAAUUUCAUUAUUUUCAGAAGUUCAAACCUCUUCAUCAUCAUGUGUUAUGACUUGGGUCUCAUCUUGAGAAAUUUCUUUCAACCCAUGAUCAUCUUGAUCAUUUAUUCCUUUUCUCUUUCGAGGAUUUUUAUCCUUGGAACCAAUCGGUCUACCACGCUUCAAAUGUGGUCUAGACUCAUUUUCCUUAACAAUUUGUCCCGUCGGGAUAUCAACUCGAACUGGAGCAUUAACAGCUGGAUUAUGCGAUUUAGUAAUCCUUGGAAGAUUAGUAAAUGCAUCUGGUAGCUGAUUUGCAAUGUUCUGCAAAUAAAUUAUUCUUUGAACUUCUUGCUCACAUUGGUUUGUUCGAGGAUCCAGAUGAGAUAGAGAUGAUGAAUUUCAAUCUAUCUCUUUUCCUAAUGACUUAUGUUCUCCCCCUAAUGUUGGGUAUACUGAUUCAUCAAAAUGAAAAUCAGCAAAUCUUGCCUUAAAUAAAUCUCCAGUCGUAGGCUCCAAAUAUUUUAUGAUUGAAGGAGAUUCAUAACCAACAUAUAUCCCCAACCUUCUUUGGGGCCCCAUCUUUGUGCGUUGUGGUGGAGCAAUUGGGACAUACACCGCACAUCCAAAAACUCUAAGAUGGGAAAUGUUUGGUUCUUGACCAAAAGUAAAUUGUAAUGGGGAGAAUUCAUGAUAAUUGGUCGGCCUUAUGCGCACAAGUGUUGCUGCAUGCAAAAUAGCAUGCCCCCACAUAGACACAGAUAACUUUGUUCUCAUUAGUAAUGGUCUAGCUAUUAAUUGCAGACGUUUAAUCAAUGAUUCUGCUAGACCAUUUUGAGUGUGAACAUGAGCAACUGGACGUUCAACUGUUAUACCAGUAGACAUACAAUAAUCAUUAAAUGCUUGAGAUGUAAACUCACCAGCAUUAUCUAGACGGAUUGUCUUUAUUGUUUAGUCUGGAAAUUGUGCUUUCAAUCUUAUUAUUUGAGCCAACAAUCUCGCAAAAGCCAUGUUGCGAGUUGAUAAUAAACACACAUGUGACCAUCUUGUAGAAGCAUCUAUCAAGACCAUAUAAUAUUUAAAGGGUCCACAUGCAGGUUGAAUUGGUCCACAUAUAUCACCCUGUAUACGUUCCAAAAACGCAAGAGAUUCAAUUCCAACCUUAACUGUUGAUGGUUUAAUGAUCAACUUUCCUUGAGAACAAGCAGCACAAGAGAAUUCCUUUGAUUGAAGAAUAUUUAGGCUCUUUAAGGUGUGCCCAUGUGAAUUCUCUAUUAUUUUGCGCAUCAUAUUAAAUCCGGGAUGGCCCAACCGGUCAUGCCAAAUGAUAAAAUCAUUAAAAUUAGUAAACCUUUUGUUUACUACGGCAUGUGAUUAAACUGUACUUAUACUUGUAUAGUACAACCUAGAAGAAAAUGCAGGUAAUUUUUCAUGCACAAUUUUCUUCUCUACAUUAAUUGUAGUAAUGUAAAGGUAUUCAACCUUUCCUUCAUUAGCCGUCUCAACAUGAUAGCCAUUUUGGCGAAUAACUUUGAAACUUAAUAAGUUUCUUUGAGACUUACUACAAUAUAAUGCAUUAUCAAUGCUUAAUAUUGUCCCUCCAGGUAGUAAUAAGGUCGCUCUUCCAGAGCCCUUAAUUAAUUUUGUACUACCUGAUAUUGUGUUGACAUAUGCCAUUCUCAUAACCAAAUUAGAAAAAUAUUUCUUUUCUUUUAAUAUUGUAUGCGUUGUAGCACUAUCAAGAAGGCAUACAUCUCCAUUACUCAUCUUGAAUCCAACCGACAACUGGGGAUUUCUAUUAAUUUUCAUUAAAAUAAAAUACAUCAAAAGAAGGAAGAAACAAAAUUAACAACGGAAAUUUAAAUACUUCAACAUUAAUAACAUAAUAAUUAAAAAUACAUAAGUAAAAUAUUAACAAAUUUCAUUCCCCAGCUAAAAGAUCAAACAUUAGUUUCGAUCUCCAAAGAAGUCAUCAACUUCCAUAUGAGUAAUGUCACCAAGGCCAUCAAAAACAUCAUCCUUUAAAGCCAAAUUUGCUUCAACAUCUUUAUCAUAUUUCUGAGAUGUUCCAGGCUUAUCACCAUCUUUAAGAGUCAUAUGUGACUCAGCUCGAGCAUUGGAAGAGGAAGCACCACUUUUAUUUCCUUUCUUUUUAAAGGAAUUUUGAUAGAGCCUUACAAAAUGUUCAUGCGUGCGACAUUCAUUCUUCCAAUGACCUUUCAUGCCACAACGACGACAAUUACUUUUUGAGGGGGUAUUUUGAGAACUCAUGAUGUUCUCCCUUUUAUUAUGACCACCACCUUGACGAUUAGGGUAUCGUAUUUUAUCUUUGCCACGUCCCCGUGCAUUAUUAUAUCCCCGAUGAUCAUCUCUUUUUACUUCAGAUUGAUCACGUGCUUCCACCACAUUUGCCUCCGGUAAUGGAGCAGCUCCAGUGGGACGAGCUUCAUGAUUUUUCAUUAAAAGAGCAUUAUGUUGCUCAGCCACCAAAAGACAUGAGAUUAGUUCAGAAUAUUUCUGAAAACCCUUUUCACGAUAUUGCUGCUGCAAUAUCACAUUCGAGGCAUGAAAAGUAGUAAGUGUCUUUUCCAACAUGUCCUCAUCUUUUAUAGUCUCCCCACAUAAUUUCAACUGGGAGGUUAUCCUGAAUACAGCAGAGUUGUAUUCAAUUACGGUCUUAAAAUCUUGAAACCGUAAAUGCAUCCACUCAUAACGAGCUCUUGGCAACACUGUUGCCUUUAGGUGGUCAUAUCUCCCCCUUUAAAUCAGUCCACAAUUCAAGUGGAUCUUUCACCGUCAGAUAUUCAAUCUUCAGGCCCUCAUCAAGAUGAUGAUGAAGGAAAAUCAUAGCCUUCGCCUUAUCUUGACUCGAUGCUUCAUUUCCCUGAGUAAUAGUGGCAUCAAGACCUUUAGCAGCCAAGUGAAUCUCAGCAUCGAGUACCCAUGAAAGAUAAUUCUUUCCAGAAAUAUCUAAUGCCACAAACUCAAGUUUGGAUAAGUUCGACAAAAUGAAAAUUAUGAGAGAAUAUGUGAAUUAAAUAAAAAUAUUUUUAUAGUACCUUUGCAAGUAACAAUCUCGUGUUGAUAACGUGUUGUAAAGAAAACUCAGAAUAUAAGAUGAAAAAGACAAGAAGUAUAAGAUAGAGGAGAUAAUUUUCUUAUUGAAGUAUGUCAUACAAUGGUGAAUGAUAUCUCUAUUUAUAGUGUUGAGAUAUCAUAGUCAAAGGUCACCUUGAAAUUUUACAUAGUUAUCAUCAAGGUUCAUAUCACCUUGAUAUCUUAUCACAUUGGAAACACUAAUACAUGAAUCCAAUUAAUUGUUGGAUAACUCUAAUAGAUCAUCCACAUAUACAAUGGAUUUACGACAAUAUAUAUAUUUGCUUUGUACAUUAAUAUUUUUUUUAAUAUUCUGUUCGUAUAAGUUAGAAAGAAAAUGAAAAAUGUUUCACUUAGCAAAUAGUCUUUUACUAAAACAGCAAUCUUAAUUGUUGUUAUUAGUCACUAUUAGCAUAAUUUUGACAAUUUAAUAAUAAGAGGUUGAAAUUGAUGCAUGGAACAUCAAACUUUCCCCUCUUGGACUGGCUUCCCUGCGCACUGAAUUUACUAAUAUCAACCAAUAACUCAGGCUCCACCAACAUUUUUCCUGCCAUCACUUUGAAUUGACCAGUAGGAGAUCCUUUAAUAGCCAACUUCAUUUUCCUCUAUUGGAGGCUCGCUCCAGACACUUAUAAUACACGAGAUAUAUAGAGGAUGAAAUUGGAUUAAAGGCGUUUUUGAUAUGAGACUGAAAGAUUAUGCGAGUAUUAACUAUUUUAUGUAGUAUAUUAUUUAGGCGUUAGUUCUAUAUCAUUUAAUUAUUUAUUUUAAUUUUUUAUCCUCGUAUAAAAUAAUAAUAUAAACUACCAAGCUAAGCAGGGCCCCCCCCCCUACCAUAACCAAGAAAUAUUGAGAAGGAAAAAAUCGACGCGAUGACACGUGGAAAAGAGACUUUAAUGUUGAAGGACACCUGUGAUUGUGUCAGGAUGACGUGGCCACGUUACUUGUGGGUCCCAAUGACUUAGUGUGGUCAUUUUCAUGCCAGCUGGGCUCGACUGCGGUUAAAAAACUCAAGGAUUGGGUGGCACAAAAUGUUCAAAUACGUGGGACCCAUUCUUGUUUUGACCCGACCCAUCAUGCCAAAAAUACUACUAUUACCGGUUACAUUUGAGAAUGUUUUUUUUUAUAAAAUUAUGACUACUUUUAAGUUUUAACAUCUUACACCCUCCUUGUUUUCUAGCAUACACUGGGAGUGGGACCAUGAAAUUAAAACACAAAAGAGAACCUCACUCAUAAUGUUUUCUAUACACUAUUGAUAAUCUUCAUAAAUUUUUGAUAUACUAAAUAAAAUUUAAUACAAACAAGAUAUUGAUAGUGUUAUAAAGUAAGUAUUUGAAUAUGUGAAUUUAUCUUAAAUUCUUUGAAAAGUUUAAUCUGAGUAUUUCAUGUUUUUUAAAUAAAAACGCUUGACAAAUUUAUAUUAAUAAAGAAAAUCAUUUUUAUCUACUGGUUAUUUAUUUAAUAUGUAAAUAAAAGUUAUAGCUGAUAUUAUUAUUUUUAUCAAUCUAUAAAUUAUUUAUAUAGAAUUUAACAAUUACUUUUAUCAAUUAAGUUUUAUAUUAUUUCAAAUCAACGUUUAUCAGAUAAGAGGCUCAUGUUAUUAAAGAAUAGCACACUAUAAUUUAUGUUUAAUCUUUUUUUAUUGAAUUAGAAUUUGAUAUUCUUUCGAGGACGUCCGAUAAAAAAAAUUAAAGUUCAAUUAAUAUAUAUUUUUUAAAAAUAACUUUAUGAUAGCAUAUUAUAUUUUUAUUAUGAAUUUCUGCUUAUUUAAUAAGAUUAUAUUUAAAGUUUGAGAUUUUUUAAAAUAUAAUUCUCAAAGUUUAUCGGGGGUGGGCAGGUUAUAUUUAUGAGCAAAUAUACUAUUUAAAAAAUAUGAAUUGCAUGCUAAAAAAAAUUCAAUCUCAUAUCGUAUAAUUUAGUAUCAUAAUUUCACAUCAUUUGGUUAAACGUCGCAUAAAUAUUGGUCAAUGAUAAGAUAAAGUAUAUGGACCAACUAAUAAAAAUGGUAAAUAAAUAAGUAAUUUUUUACACCGAAGACAUCCAAAGUAUAUGGACCAACUAAUAAAAAUGGUAAAUAAAUAAGUAAUUUUUUACACCGAAGACAUCCAAAGUAUAUGGACCAACUAAUAAAAAUGGUAAAUAAAUUAGUAAUUUUUUACACCGAAGACAUCCAAAGUAUAUGGACCAACUAAUAAAAAUGGUAAAUAAAUAAGUAAUUUUUUACACCGAAGACAUCCAAAGUAUAUGGACCAACUAAUAAAAAUGGUAAAUAAAUUAGUAAUUUUUUACACCGAAGACAUCCAAAGUAUAUGGACCAACUAAUAAAAAUGGUAAAUAAUUAAGUAAUUUUUUACACCAAAGACAUCCAAAGUAUAUGGACCAACUAAUAAAAAUGGUAAAUAAUUAAGUAAUUUUUUACACCAAAGACAUCCAAAGUAUAUGGACCAACUAAUAAAAAUGGUAAAUAAAUUAGUAAUUUUUUACACCAAAGACAUCCAACAUUGCUUAAUUCACACAACUUUUUCUUUUCCAGUCAAUCGACUAUAAACCUCAACUUUGACUCGAUCUGAUAUUUUUAUUUUAAAGUCGCAUAAUCAUCUUGAAAAAGAUUAUUUAAUAAUAAAAAGAUUAAUUAUAUCAUUUUUCAUUUAAUAUUGAUAAUUAUAUAAAAAAUUUCAAAUUUCUAAUUAAAAUUUAAAUUAAUAAAUUUUUAGAGUUAAUUAAAACUAAAACAAUCCUAUCAUUACCACACAAACUAUUAUAAAGUUCUAUCAUUAUUUUUUUUCAAACUUGAAUAUUAAUUCAAGUUGGAUUAGUGGAUAGUACUUGUGUCUCGUGAGUGAUUACGUGAAUCUUUGAUUGAUUGCUGGUGCUAUUUGUGGGUCCCAUCCCAGCUGGAAAUGAGUUUUAAAUAGAAUCAUUAGGUCAUACGCAAAAAUUAAAAAUUCCAUCCGUCCACAUUUGUUUGACACGUAUAUUAAAAAUAGAUAUGUAAAAUUAAUUGUUAAUUUAAACAGUUAAAAAAUAAUUUUUUUUUAUUUUUCUCUUAAUAUUGCUUAAUUCUGUUUAAUUAAAAAGUUAUGUAAACUUUUAAUAUUCUUAAUAUAUUAGGGUUAUAUUAAUUAAAUUACACCUUGUAUUAAAUUUUCCUUAACAUGACCUUACUUGAUAAAUAAUUAUGGACGGAGGGCGUAAAUAACAAACCCGACAGAUUAAAUUAUUUUAAAGUUAUAAUUUUUUAAUUAAUUCAAUUAAUGUAAGAUACAUUAAAAAAUUAAGUUUGGUAUCAUAUUCACACGUUAUUAUUUGAAAAUAUGAACCUAUCGUAAAAUUAGUUAUAUCUUAAUCAAACAAAAUGUAAAUUAAUAUUUUAAAUAUCUUAUGAAAUAAAAUUUCCGAAAAUCAUUUGGUACAGGAGAUAAAAAAAUUGAAAUACUAUUAUCAUAUACUUGAUUUAAGAAAUUAACACUCUUGAAAUUAUUUUCUCUUACUACCUAUACUUGGAAUAAUAAAAUUACUAUCACAUAUAAAAAAUAAAUAUAAAAGAUCUAAAUCCAAAAAAAUAUUUUUGAUUUAUGGAUGAGAAAGGAAAGAGAUUAAAAAAGGAAAAGGAAAAAGAAAAAAAACGGUAUACAAGUGAGAUUUGGUAUGCAAGUACAUGUGGGGUCUCUCUAAAGAUCCUUUAAUGUUUGCUUCUUUUUGGAACAGACGACGCGUCUUUUUUUGGUCAUUUUCCGCCGAAACAAAUUAUUUUUCAAAAUUCAAUUUAAAUUUUACUAAUUCUUAUAUUUAUAAAAUUACUUGUUAUAAUAAAUUAUAUUAUAGUAUAAAUUACAUCUAAAUUACAUUCUAUCCCUACUAAUUUUCAAUUUACAAAAAUCCCUUAAAAUAUCAUACCUAUCUUUUAGAUACAUUAUAUGUGAUUUAUUAUAAACAACUGUUUGUUGAGCUUAAAAAAGAACAAAUCAGGUAAAAAUUAUUUUUACUUAUCUUAAUUAAUGCGCCUAAAUGUAUUUUUACUUAUUUUAAUCUCGUUGAUUAACGCCUAACUGAUUCUUAAUAAGUUCAUAUCUCAAUAGGUAACAAAUUCACAAAUAUCAAAUCUCUAAUUUACAUCUUCUUCAUUGAACAACCAUUAAUCUCAAAAAAGUGAUAAUCUUAAAAAAUUUGAAGAAGUUGCUGAUAAAAAAGAUGAAUAUAUCAAUUUUGUUGAGAUCUUCAAAAAAAUUGGGGGAACGAGGUGAGUUAUGAAUGUUAUUAAAUUGAUGAAAUCUCUAAAAAAAUUUCAUUGUGCUUGGUAUAUUUGUAUUUUGUCCAAUCAAAAUUGAUAAGAUUCAAGCUAAAUAUUUUCAUCUUAUUGAGUCAGUCGGGAGUCUGAAAAAUUGAGAUUAGAUAUGAACGGUAUCAAAGUGAAAGUGAAGCAAAUGUAUAAGGAUAAAACAAUUUUGAUGGGUGCAAUGACAAAAUACAAAAUAAAACAUAAUUUCAAUUUUAAAUUAAAAAAUUUGUGAUUUUGUAGUAUGUGUUGUGUAUCAAAUCAUCUGCUACAUUAUGUGUUCGUAGAUAAAUAAUAAUACGAUUGUGCCAAUGCAACUUGCGUUGCAUCCAAAAGAAGCGAGUGGCGGUGGUGGGACUAAUAUCAAUUAUUAGAUGAUACUAUGAUUGUAUGAUGACGCAAAUUGUAGUUUAAUUAAUGGGUAGAAAAAUUCAUUCGAUGAAUUAAUUUAUAAUAAAUAGAUAUAAAUUGCAUUAGAUGAUGAAUUCAACUGAGAAAGAGAUCAAGUAGCCUCCUUUUUGAGAUAUCACAUUAGUCGCACGCUAACUAAGAAAGAUCAGGUGGAAUUAUAUAGAAUAUUUUUGAUAUAUCAACUCAGUCAUCUUUCAGUUUAAAAUGCUUAUUUAAUUUAUAUUUUUUUACAAUAAUUUUUCUCAUGAAAAUGUAUAAAUUGGACCCACCGAUUUUGAAAGAAAUGGUUUGAAACGACAUGUAUCACAUGCAAUGCUAUUCAUUUGCCAAACGUUACAGAGAAAAACUCUAUUGGCUAUAUUAAAUGUAACAAUUAUAUUCUAGAAGAAAGCUUUUGUAAUAUGAAUGUAAAUAAAUACUUAUGAAACCUGAAUGGAAGAUACUUUUGGCAAAAAGAAAAUAAACGUUUUAGAAAAGUGAAAGAGUCCAAAUGUAGGUAAUGCAUGCGUGUUGCCUACUUGGAUGUGUACAAAGCUGAGUCUACGCUGAGGCAUCACAACUCACACAAAUCCAAUUUUUGAUAGUAGAAAUUAAAGAAAAUUGACUACGUCAAUUACUUAGAUAAAAAUAGAACGUACGUUGUUAAUAUGUUAUCAGAGUUUGAUUCAUCUCAAUUCGCGUGUAUUAGGAGGAGACAUAUCACAUAUGUUUAUAUGAUGAAAUGAGUGAAUGGGGAAGGUGGACCAAACAUUCUUACUUUAGGGAAGGUCGAAUAGAAGGAAGUGAGGGUGGACCAAACAUAAUUUAGGUAUCAAGAACGAGGCAGUAUGAUUUAUACAACGAAAAGGAAAUAAAUGUGACAGGGAUCUAAAUUACCAGCUUAUUAUUAUUGUCACUCUCCUAACUGGUGGGGAUUCAUUUUUUUUUUAUAUGAGUUGUCCAAUUCUGUCACUGCCAUGGGACAAUGAUUUAGAUCAGACAGGAAAGGGUCAAAUAUAUCACUACUAGCUUAAAUAUAUCUUUCUUUAUAUUUCUUUUAUUAUACGUUUAGUUUAAAUAUAUUGAUAUAUGAGAAAUAACGUAAAGAAAUAGAUCGUAUAUACUCAAAUUGUUACGUAUUUUUUUAUAAUGUAUUGUAUUAUAUUGUAUGAUGUUAUAUUGUAUUGUAUUAUUUUAAUAAAUAUAAUAUUUAGAUAAAUUACAUUGUUCUUCAUCAUCAUAUAGGUCACAUAUCAAUAAUUUAAAUGAUAAAUCUACUAGAAAAAUAAAAUAUGGUAUGUUAAAGGAUAACAUAAGAUUAUUAUAUAAUAGGUAAAGACAAAUUAAGGAAAAAUAUAUUAAGAUAGUGACGUGACAAACCAAGCUAGCGUUUGACCUACUACAACAAAAAUAAUUUUUAACGACAAUAAAUAGACACAUUAAUGAAGAACAUUAAAGUUUUUAUCGACAUUAGUUAAAUGUCAUUAGAUUCAAUGUCGUUAAAUCCUUUAGGGACAUAUACAAAGAGUGUUAAUUACCGCUAAAAAUACAUAUUUAGUGAUAAUUGCUAAUUAAUUACCGCUAAAACUCAUUUUUGAUAUAAUGACCAAAGAUUUUCAAAUAUUCUUGACAAAUAUUAUUUGGAUGAAAAUUUAGAUGAAAUUUCACUAUGUAUUUGAUCGUAGUAUUUGAAAAACAUAUUUUAUUUUUAAUAGAAAAAUAUACUCAAAAGUUUUUAAAAUUAUCAAAACUAACCACAAAUUUGUAGUACAAGUCAAUUGGAUCUUCGUUGCUACAAAUAACAAGUAACGUUCAUGACAUUAAUUAGAGCAAUGUGGUAGUUUGGAGUGAGUGGAACGAUCAUCAUUUCAUAUAUCAUGAAAUAGACAAAGCACAUGACUUUGUAACUCUGAGCCGAUUGUUCAUCAUUUUCAUCAAUAACCAUAUCAUCAUUUUCAUAUUAACUUUAGAACGUUUCAUCACUAAUUUGGUUUACGUAAAAAAGUUAUGUAAUACAACAGAACAAUUACUAUAGAGGAUAUUUUUAUAAAAGAUAAAAUUUGACAUAAAAUUCAAUUUUUGAAAGAACCCAAAUAAUGAGAUUUGACCCAAAUAUUAAGGAAAAAAUAGUUAUUUUUGAGAAUUUGAGAUAUUUGCCAAGAAUAUUUGUCAAUUAAUCAUAAAUUGCAUGGACAAUCACUAUUUGUCAAUUUCUUUUCUCAAAUAUUACUUGAAAAAUCUAUGACCAAACGAGUCUCAAAUAAGUCGUUGCAUAAAAUAUUUUUUUUUGUGGUUACCUUACAAUGAAUUAAUUGUACUAUAUAAUUCUAUUGAAGAUAAAUAAUGUUAUAAGUAGUUAGCUAAUUAUUAAUAUUGUUAGGAUUUAGUUAAAGGUUAGUUAGAAAGUUUGUUACUAUUUCUUCUACUUGUAUAAAUAGUAUUCCUCCCACAUCGGGUGAGGAACAAUUGUUCAUUUUUCUUCAAUAUAAAAAUUCCCAAAUCUCUCAUCUCUCUCAAUCUUUACAUGGUAUCAGAGCUGUGAAUCAAUAGUUUUUUGAUUCAAUCUAAUAGUUCGAUUCUGAUUUUGAAGUCAAGCAGAAACAGAGCUUCAGUAGCUUGUAAUGGUGAUCGAAAGUGCAACGCCAGUGGCUCAAUCGUCUGCAUCAGUUCCUGCAGCAGAAACACUUGAGAUGGUAGAAUCAAAGAGAAAUCAUCCUCUUCAUCUUCAUCCUUCAGACACUCCUGGAUCUUUAUUGACUACAGUUCAACUUACUGGUUCAGAAAACUACUCUUUAUGGAGUAGAUCGAUGAUUAUAAACCUCCGAGCUAAGAGCAAGCUUGGUUUUGUGCUUGGAACAUGCAGAAAGAGUGAUUAUACGCCUAAGUUGGAAGAACAGUGGGAAAAAUGCAAUGCAUUUGUCUUAGCAUGGAUCAUGAAUACAAUUUCGAAAGAAUUGUUAAGUGGAAUUGUAUAUGCUUCAGAUGCUGCAAUGGUGUGGGAGGAUCUGAAGGAACGAUUUGAUAAGGUGGAUGGUUCUAGAGUGUAUCAACUUCAUAGGGACAUAUGUACAAUUCAUCAAGGUAACCUAACUGUUUCAGCCUAUUUUACCAAGUUAAGGUUGCUUUAGGAUGAAUUUGAUGCACUUGUUCCACCUCCUUCAUGUAAUUGUGAUAGAUCUAGAAUAUAUGUGGAUCAUAUGCAUUAUCUGCGAUUGUUUGCAUUUCUAAUGGACUUAAGUGAGAUCUAUGGCCCUGCACGAAGUCAGAUAUUAAUGAUGAAUCCUUUGCCAACUGUUGGCAAAGCAUAUGCCAUGAUAGUUUCAGAUGAAAAUCAAAGGAUCACUUCUGGCUUGCGAAAUGGAGGAGAUGUAAUUGAGGCCACAACAUUAUAUGCAAACAGAAGUGGUUAUGGUUAUAGAAACACAGAUCGUGGUAAUGGAGACAAAGGUGAAUAUAAUAGAAGUGGUUAUGGCUAUAGAAACACAGGUCGUGGUGAUGGAGAUAAAGGUUACAAUGGUAAGAAGAAAGUAAAUUGGAACUUAUUCUGUGUACACUGCAAGUUGCAUGGACACACUAAAAAUAUCUGUUAUAAGUUGGUAGGAUAUCCUGAAGAUUGGAAGUUCAAAAGGAAAUCAGAUACUGAAAUGACUGUAAACAAAGGAAAAGGCAUAGCAAAUAAUGUACAAGUUGAUAAAAAUGGUGAGGAAGAUGUGUUUGGAGUAGUUAAUGAAGGAGAUAAAAAUGAACAAGGAUCACAUGAUCUCAAUUCUGUUCGAACAAGCUUACAAGCACUGGCAAUGAAAUCGACAUACACUCCUGACCAAUAUCGAAAGAUAAUGAAGCUAUUGAAUAAAGAAAAGCAGGCUGAGGUCAACAUGGCAGGUAUUUCCAAUGAUUUUGAUUCUUUACUAGAAUGUGAUAGAAGAAGAAGUUAUGAUGAUGCUAUGAAUGCAAGUAAUGAACAUAAUAUCUUUAGCAAGAAAGGUCAUUGGAUAGUGGAUUCAGGAGCUACAUGUCACAUGACAUCUAAAUUUGAAAAUUUAGAUAAGAUUAGCAGAAACAACAAGAAUACAGAAAGAAAGGUUUAUCUGCCUAAUGGUCAAACUACAUUAGUGACACAAUCAGGAGCAUGCAUGAUAUCAGCUAAUCAAGAACUUGAAAAUGUUCUAGUUGUUCCUGAACUUAAACAUGAUCUAUUAUCAGUAUCCCAAUUAACAAGACAGUUAAAGUGUUCUGUUCAAUUCUUUCCUGAAUUCUGCAUAUUUCAGGACCUCUUCAAUGGAGAGGUGAAGGGGAUUGGUAAAGAAAAUGAUGGGUUAUGUUACUUUCCUAGAAAUUUGUCAGAAGAAAAGACAGUUACUGCAAAUGUUGAUGACAGAAGGUCCAUGAACAAGGCAAAUUCACAGUUUAUGAUAUGGCAUUACAGAAUGGGACAUCCUUCAUAUAAAGUCUUAAAGCAAUUGUAUCAAAGUGUUCCUGCAGGAGUAUGUGAUGAUUGCCCUAUAUGUCCAUUAGCCAAACAAACCAGGCUUACAUUUCCUAUGAGUAGCUCUAGAACUGAUGAUGUUUUUUAUCUGAUUCAUCUUGAUGUAUGGGGACCAUAUAGACAUACUACUCAUAAUGAUUUUAGAUUCUUUUUGACUUUUGUGGAUGAUAAUUCAAGGGUGACUUGGUUGUUUUUACUAAGACAUAAAAGUGAUGUGCUUGCUAUCUUGAAGUCCUUUUUUGUGUUAGUUAAAACUCAGUUUGAUAAGCAAAUCAAAAGAGUAAGAUUAGACAAUGGUACAGAGUUCUUUAACAAUGAAUGCAAAACAUUGUUUACUUCUUUAGGAAUUGUUCAUGAAAGUAGUUGUCCACACACUCCACAACAAAAUGGAGUGGUGGAAAGGAAGCAUAGACAUAUUCUUGAAGUGGCAAGGGCUCUUAGAUUUCAAGGGUCCAUUCCUAUUAAAUUUUGGGGUGAAUGUGUGUUAGCUGCUGUAUAUUUGAUCAACAGAAUGCCUACAAGUGUAUUACAGGGAAGGUCACCAUAUGAAGUCUUUUACAAGACUAAACCACAAUUAGAUCAUCUAAGAACAAUUGGAUGCUUAAGUUAUGCAACUAAAGCUGUUAAGGAAGAUAAGUUUUCUUCCAGAGUUGAUCAAUGUGUUAUGAUGGGUACUCUUUAACUCAGAAGGGAUAUAUGCUAUACAACCUGGCUCUAAGAAAGUUUAUUGUGAACAGAGAUGUAGUCUUCAAAGAACACAUAUUUCCAUUCAGUCAGCUGAAGGAUGAGAAUGUGAGAGUGUUCAUUGAACAACCAUUUUGUGACUAUGACAUUGCUGAAGUUCAUACACCAUUAGAUGUUGAGACUUCAGAUGAACAUGCUGAACAAACACUUGUUCCUACUGAGCAUGUUUCUGAGAAUAUUACUGAAGAGCAUGGUGAUGACAAUAUGGUUGAUGUGCCUAGUCCUGUGCCCAGAGUUUCUUCAAGAAUGUCUCAUCCACCCGUGUGGAUGAAGGAUUAUGUUACUCAUCUGACUAAUUCAAUCCAUCCUCAUUCUUUAGCCAACUAUAUGUCAUAUAGUCAUUUGUCUGGAUCUUAUCAGACAUAUUUGAGUACAAUGUCUGCAGAAGUUGAACCCAAAACAUAUGAAGAAGCUAUCCAAAAUCAAAGAUGGGUAGAAGCCAUGAAACAAGAGAUUAUUGCAUUAGAAGAUAAUAGUACAUGGGAGGUUGUGACUUUACCUUCAGGGAAACAUGCCAUAGGCUGUAAAUGGGUGUUUAAAAUAAAAUACAAAGCCACUGGAGAGAUUGACAGGUUUAAAGCUAGGCUUGUAGCUAAAGGAUACAGUCAAACUGAGGGAGUUGAUUAUCAGGAAACAUUUUCACCAGUUGUGAAAAUGGUUACUGUUAGAACUAUUAUUGCAAUUGCAGCUGCUGAAAAUUGGCAAAUAUUUCAGAUGGAUGUUUUCAAUGCCUUUUUACAAGGUGAUUUGGAUGAAGAAGUAUAUAUGGAACUUCCUAAAGGUUUCAUAAGCAAGGGGGAACAUAAAGUUUGUAAACUAAAAAAGUCAUUAUAUGGUCUCAAGCAAGCAUCUAGGCAAUGGAAUGUUAAGCUCACUGAUGCAUUAUUGAAUUCUGGAUACAUACAAAGUCAUUUGGAUUACUCCUUGUUUACAAAGAGGAAGAAGUCAGCACUAGUUAUUGUGUUUAUUUAUGUGGAUGAUUUGUUGAUUACUGGAAAUGAUUAUGCACUGAUACAGGAGACAAAGCAGGUUCUGCAUCUUCAUUUUAAAAUAAAGGAUUUGAGAGAAUUGAGGUACUUCUUGGGAAUAGAAUUCUGCAGAUCAGAACAAGGCAUAGUGAUGAAUCAAAGGAAAUAUGCAUUAGAGUUAAUUUCAGAAACAGGAUUAUCAGGAGCUAGACCAUCUUUAACACCUUUGGAGACAAAUAUGAAGCUUACAAGUGCUGAUUAUAUGCAAGAUGUCCAUGAUGAACUAUUUACUGAUAUAAACAAAUAUCAAAGGUUGAUUGGCAAACUACUAUACCUUACUAACAUAAGGCCUGAUAUUGCUUUCUCAGUUCAGUGUUUAAGUCAAUUCAUGCAAAAACCAACACUUUCUCACUGGAAUGCAACAUUGAAGGUGGUUAAAUAUGUUAAAACAGCACCAGGUCUGGGGAUACUCAUGAGCUCUGAUAAACAAGCACAGCUCACUAAUUUUUGUGAUGCAGACUGGGCUGCCUGUCCAAACACCAGAAGAUCAGUGACUGGCUAUCUCUUGAAGUAUGGGAAAUCUUUAAUAGCAUGGAAGUCUAAGAAACAAAAUACAGUUUCUAGAAGUUCUGCAGAAGCAGAAUAUAGAAGCUUAGCAACAUUAACAGCUGAAGUUGUUUGGGUGAACAACUUGUUCAAGGAAUUGGGAAUGAAUGUGCAUGAACCAGCUAUCAUACAUUGUGACAACAAAGCUGCUAUGCAAAUAGUAGCAAAUCCAGUUUUUCAUGAACGUACAAAACAUAUUGAGAUUGAUUGUCAUUUUAUCCGUGAAAGGUUACAACAAGGAUUGAUCAAGACAAGCUACAUCAAUACUAAGGAGCAGCAAGCAGAUUUGUUAACAAAGGCCUUAGGAAGAUCUCAACAUGACUUCUUAUUGGCCAAGCUAGGUGUAUUAAAUGUUUUCAAUACAUCUAGCUUGAGGGGUACUAUUGAAGAUAGAUAGUGUUAUAAGUAGUUAGCUAAUUAAGUGUAAUUAGUUUGUUAUUAAUAUUGUUAGGAUUUAGUUAAAAGUUAGUUAGAAAGUUUGUUACUAUUUCUUCUACUUGUAUAAAUAGUAUUCCUCCCACAUCGGGUGAGGAACAAUUGUUCAUUUUUCUUCAAUAUAAAAAUUCUCAAAUCUCUCAUCUCUCUCAAUCUUUACAAAUUCUAUCAAAUUUAAGCAUCAAUUAAAGCACAUAAUUUUUUAAAAAAAAUUAACAAUACAAUACAUUACAACACGUAGCAAUCAUCCAAAGUCCAAAAAAGGAACUAAUUAAAAUAAAAAUUUUAGAUACUUAUCAAUAUCACUGUCUAUGAAAAAUUAUAAUGAUAUUUCGUACAUCCUUAGAUUUUUUUAGUAAAAACAAAAGAUCGUACUAUUAUACGUGCAAUACACACCGUCGUAUACAAACUGGUGGAUAUUAAUAAGACAACUUAUGAUUAUACAAUUUCACUUGAAAUAAGGAAGGCAACGUUUAUACAAAUUAGAAAUUUCUAUUUGAGAAGACGUGUGCUAAUCUAAUAAAUUAGUACUCUCUGUCCAAAAUUGUUUGUCAUGUUUCGUUUAUCGAAAGUUAAUUUGAAUAAUUUUCAAAGGUAAUUAGAUCGCAUUAAUUUGAUAUUUUAAACAAAAAAAUAAAUAUUCCAAAACUAUAUGAAAAACACUAUAAAUUACAACUUUUUGUAUAUUAAUAUCAAGAAAAAGUAUAUCUUAAAAUAUUAGUCAAAAUUUAUAUAAUUUGACUCUAACUAUGACAAGUAAACCGGAUGGAGGGAGUAGUAAACUAGUAAUAGUUUUAAUUUCAUGUCCUUGGGUAAGAAUUUAGUAUUUACUCCUUUGCUUAUGUUUACUUAUUUAUUUAAUUUGACACAUCUUAUAAAUCGUCUCACUAAUUAGGAAAUAAAUAAAAACUUACUAAUAAAAAUAAAAUAGAUAUAAUGUGAUAAAUUAUUUUUUAAUUAUUUAAAUUAAACGAAUAAAUAUGAACAUUUAUUUUUAGUAUAUGAAAUAAGUAAAAGACUAUAUAAGCCCCUCCUAUUAAUUGAUGCGCUGGUGAGGUCGAUAGAAAGCAAAUCAUAGACAUAAUAAUCGAUUAGAAAAAUCCUAUAUAUAAUUUUUUUAUAAAAAAAUAAUUGUAGACAUCAUUAAAAUGACGUAUUGGUAAAACUUCACUUCUCAAACGUGUCUGCUGCUCAGGGUUUGUUAUUUUGAUGGACUGCUGGAAGUUGAGAACUUGACUUUGAGUUCAAGCUAACAUAUUUUGACAUUCAGAAAGUCGAUUUGCGGUCGUAAGUUGAAUUUAGUAAUUUUUACUUAAAUUAUAUAUUUAUAUUAAAAAUAUGUAUAAUUAUUUAAAAUAAUUUAGUAAAAUAUGAACUAAACCUGUGAACUUGGUUCUAAGAAACGUGUUAUUAGAUCAAAAAAAAUUUAUUUGUUUUUCUCAUAUUUAUUCUUCUGUCCUGUUAGAAUCAUUUGCCAAUUGUGUUUAAGUUUAAAUACUCUGCAUUCUUCGAAGUCGUGUUUUCCUAUAUUUAGUUUCGUCAAAAUGAGACACUAAAACUAGUAUUAUAAUAUUCCAUGUUUUUUUGCAACAAGUUGGAGAAAUUAUUAUUUAAUUUGCGUUGGGAAUCAAAUGAAAUAUAUAGUAAUUAUUAUUAUUAUUAUAAGAAGAGAGGGAAAGAGGUGGUUUUGAUACAAGUCAAAUUGGAAAGAUUGAGGAAAUCUCUUGGAAAUAAAAUACAAGGCCAUAUUAUUAUUAAUAUUAUGAACUCAUUGUGUAUGUAAUAGUAAAUUUAUACAUCACGUUAUAGUCGGUGCCUAACUCUUGAAUUAUUAUUAUUAUUUUAUUCUCUUAGUUAAUUAACACAUAUACUCUAUUGAUUCUGUAUUCCGUCUAGAACAAGAAAAUUAUGUAAACAAAAAAGGCACAUGAAAUGUCUGCAAUUAUUUGGUGGUUUAUGACUUAUGUGGCAAACAAACUACUUCUUUAUGGUACUAAUCAAAACGUUUCUCAAUUGAUUUGGUCAAACACAAAAUUUUCAAUUCUGUUUUUGGAAAAACAAUUUUUUCGAAGGUAGGCUGAACAUAUCCUAAGUAAGCCCAAUCCAUUUGCAACCAGGCUUAGACUAACAACAGAUCAAUUGACUAGCACUGGGGUGGAGAUAGCGAGGGCCUAGGCAUCAAUCUGUUGUUGGACUAACAACAGAUUUCCUAAGUAACCUCAAUCCUUUGAAAUCUCAGUCGUCACUCUUGCUUUUGUACAAAUAGAAAUGUACAAAUUACGUCUCUAUUUGUAUAAAGCGAGAGAAAAUUGUAUAUACAUAUGCAAAUAUGUAUAUCUUCGUCCUAUACACUUCUAAUUCUACAAUAUAAAUAUUAUCAUGUCCAGUUUUCUUUUGUCUUUUUUCUCUUACUCGCUUUAUACAAACACAAAUUAUAUGAAGUACAAUGUAUAAUUUAUGUUUGUAUAAAGCGAGAGAGAGAACGAUAUUUGAUCAAUAAAUGUUUUAUUUCAAUUCAAUUGUAUGCAAAUUCAAAUUUUACACAGAUUUGCAAACACACAAAAAUUGAAUUGAGAGGAAGUCAACGAUUUAUACAAAUGAGAGACUAACAGCAAUUUAUACAAAGUCAUUGAAAUUAUACAAAUCUGAAAAGGAGCUAGCGAAUUAUACAAUUGUUUCUUUUGUAUAUAUAUAUAUCGAAGUAGUCAUUGUCUUUUGUAUAUAUGUAUAGUGAAAUAACAUAACAAAGUUUGCUGUGACGUACAAUUAUGUAAAUUAUAGCUAUAACAUACGAAUAUAAUUUUUAAUUUUUGUGUGAAAGUUUGCUACAUCUUUUGUGGUGCAAACAUUUGGCUGCUACUCAUUUCAGGUGAAGCAUUCAGCUCUUCAUCCGAGCUAUUGCUUCGAGAAUCAACAGAGCUCAACAAGUCUUUUAGUGAGUGGUUAUUCAUGUUGGCUUCUCAAUUGAAAACAAAGACACAUUUUUUUAUUCGAACUUAAACCACUAAAUUGUAGGCAUUAAUAUUUGAUGUAACGAAAUAAAUUCUUGUCUAACUUAACCGCAAAAAUUAGCUUAUGAAGGUAGGAUUACAAAAAGAACGAAAGUCGUCUUAGUAUUGAACAUUGGACCUGCCCAGGACCAGAUGUUAAACACAACAUCUGAAAGACUAUUGAUGGUCUGUGUAGCACACCUGCCUUGCCAUUAGCGAAGCUACUGGGAGAGUACAAACAGCAUUAUAGCACAUUAGUUAACAAAUCCUCUUAUUUAUUUUUGGCAAAAUAGCCUGGUGAACCCUCGUACUUGUCAUCUAGACCUCUGUACCUAUCUAAAAUUAAAAUUUUAAACACUUUUUUUGAUGUGGCAUCGCGCAUGUUGCACAAACCACGUAGUUGGCCAAAAAUAAAAAAUAAUAAGCCACGUAUGAAAUCUACAUGGUAAAUCAGCCAACUAAGAAUAGUCCAAACCUCAGCGAAAUUUUGUAAAAAUUUUUGCGAAUUUUCCUCUUCUCUCUUCUCCUCUUCUCCUUUCUACGAUUUCUCCACUAAGAGUCGUUUGUGAUUUGCCAUAGAUUUUCUCGGUUGAAGCUCAGUUCCACUCCGACUAUCAUUGUAAGUUUUUGAACUUGUGUUAGUUUUCGUUUUUUUCACUUUCUUGUGCGUAUCUGUUUGAUAUUAUCAUUCAAUUUUCUGAAUUUCUUUUGAGAAUUUUACUUUGGUUUGGGGGUAAUGUUAGUGCUAUACACUUUCUCAGUUGAUUAAUGACUUCGAUUGACUUCAAUGGCAUAUUCCGUGAAUUCGAGUAGAUUUUAGAAUUUUUCCAUAAAAUUCCAAUUUCGACUAAAAUUAAUAUUCUAUUUUUGGUCAAUUGUCUUGGGUAUUGAUAAUGUUAGUGGUCCAUUAAACAACAAUUACAGUUAUGGUUUGUUAAUAGCUUUUCCGUCUAACUAUUACUGGUAUUUUCUUAAAAAAUUCAGGGCUUUUGUGUUACAGUCGUGGUAUGUUUACCCCUUUUAACUGUAGUUGUUUUUUAUGUUAAGUUUAUGCUUGUUUUUCCCUUUAAAAGUAGUUGUUUUUGUCUUCCUUGUCUUGAACUCGUUGAUGAAUUGUUGAUGUUGUAUUGUUCAUUAGCAUCAGCCCAUCAAAAAAAUCCACACACAUUACCGGUUGAAUAGUUUUGACAGCCCCAAAACAUUCUUCCAGGAUUAGUUGGUGUUCUUGAUGUCUUUAGUUCAGCAUAUAUUCCACAGUAGCAACAUCGAACUGUCAUCGUGAAUACCAACAAAAAUACAAUAAGAAUCAAAAAAAAAAAAGAGACAAGUAGAUUGAAGAAAAAAAAUUAAAAGAGAAUUUUUUACAGAGACAAAAUUGAGAAAAAAAGAAAGAAAAAAGCUCAAAAAGGCAUUAACAAUGGUGUUGAGUGAAUUAAAGAAGAAAUAUCCUUUAAAGGUCAAAAUAUGACUGUUAGUGCCUUUUUAAGGCAUCUCACGCUCUUCCUUCGCCUGAAUCACACGCUCCAUGUGGGUUAAUUCCACAUAGGAUGCCACAUCAAAGAAAAUGUUUAAAAUGUUGAUUUUGAAUAGGUUCAGGAUCUAAAUGACAAAAAACUAAGUAUGAGUAUUCAUAAUACAAUCCGAUAUAAGUACGAGGAUCCACCAGGCUAUUCUGUCUUUAUUUUUUUCUCAAAAAACUUGUUUAUCAUUAUAUGGUUGCCAGAAAUGAUUUCCCUGGCGUAUUCAGAAGGGAAAAGCCAAUAGAAGUAAGCAAAACAUAACUACAAUUAAAUUUACUACAUCUCUGUAGAAUUUCUACAUCUGCAUCAGAAGUCAGAACAUUACCAUUCCCCAUUUACCUGAAGAAAAAAAUUACCAAAAUUCUGAUGCAAAAUUGCAGUGGAAAAUAAGGUGAUUUAUAUCCUUCUAGUGCCUUUUGCACUCACGAAUAAUGUAUUUUCACUUCUAACCAACGAUAUCUACUGUACGUGCAUGACUAACAAGGUUGAGGUUGGGAAUUACCUGACUAAAAGCUUUUAUCCAUACUUAACCAAUUUUUGCAACCUGGUCAUACAAAUUAGCUAAGUUGAAAACAACUACACAACAUUAGCAGUCCCAACUGUUCAACAAAUCUAAUGUCAAAUCGGAAUCAUGAUGCAUGUUUUCCACAUUAUUAAUAACACAAAAGAGAUGCAUGUGAUUUACAAAGGAAACAUCAGGCAUUACACUUGACAUGAUCACCUAUGCAUCAAAUGAUAUCCCUCCCUACAAGUAGGUUGAAGUAAGCCAAGUGGAAACUUCAUACCAAAAGGUGGUUUAAGAUGACAUACUAGCUCUGAUCUCCAUUAUCCAGAAUAAAAAGAAAAGUUAAACAACAUAGUAGUAGCUUCAUACUAUAGCCGGUCCACUAAUUAGAACAUACAACACUAGCAAACCCUAGAGACCAGUGGAAUCUCUCACAAUUCAUAGACUCAUAGAAGACUCAUAAGCAUCCUUCAAAGGUCUCGGCACCAUUGGACUCGUCAAGCAUUCGAACAACUUGAGCCACACCAGCUGCAAGUUCCUUCUGAAUGGCACCAUCUGGCAUAUCAAAUGUUCUCCUCCUUGCAACAGAUAAAGGCCUUCCACCAGGUUGGGGGUCGAUAACAUCAAGCAUUGCUUCUAACUCGUCCACUAUGGAUUUCUUUGCAGAUCGGACCAUCAUAUCCACACCCUAAUACCAAAGGAAAGUAAAGAAUAAAUGUAUUUCUAGAACAGAAGGAAAACACAUAAAAGGGUCGAGACUGCUAAGGAUUUGCACAACACAUUGCAAGUAAAGAUAAAAUAUGCUAAUGAUUGCCAAGGAUAUAUGCAUACAUUUGAUGUUAUUGACAAACUAUGCAUAUGGAUUCAAUUAUAGAAAUAAAAUUAAAUCGAAGAUAUCAUUCCUGGGUUGCAGUAGGCAAUGUUUCAUGCAAAUCUAUCAAAAUAGAGUCUGAAAAAGUUUUUACCAGAAGUAUUUACAGAAGUGUUUAAGCUGGAGACAGAGGACUUGUGUUUCCCCACCUCAGUUCCAAGAAAGGCAGCAAGCAGCAUAGUAAUAAUAAACUGCAUUCUUAUGUUGCCUGUUCAGUUAGACAAUGCGAAGAAUGUACAUUCUAUGUUGCCAGCAAAAGAGAAGCACCAAGGUCUCAAGAUGUAUUUGUCCCAAAGGUCGUGGGUAUAAUUUUUCAUUGUUCAGAUCCAGACUUCAGAUUAAUGCCCCUCCUAUUUAAGACCCCCCAAACCCAACCGAGAACAAAAAAAUAAGAACAAAACAUAGAGAAGAAAAACUAAAAUGAGGGGCUGAAAGGCCAAUUCCUGUACUCAGAUCAUGCAACAACUACAAUCAUCUGAGAACUAUAGAUCCAAGAACUCAUAAAUGAUACUUUACCUACGAAAGUAGCAUUUCCAAGUAGCAAAUUUCUAGUACUCUAUCCAUUCAAAUUUAUAAGUCUUCAUAUUUUAUUUUGGGACAACUCAAAGUCUUUGACAAUACUAUUUUGGACAAUAUUCACAACUUACAAAUAUCCAAGUCCAUUUAACUAAUCAGAUCACAGAUUUGGUGUUCUUUUUCUAGUAUUACAUUAAUAUUUCCUUCAACUACCUCUUAUAUAAUAUACUAAAUGAAAUUAGCGUCUUAAACUUCAUAUGUUGUCACACAUCAUCAUAUCAUUUGGAAAAGAAAAAAGUUUUACUUUUGGUGCAAACGGCUAGCAACAAAGCAUAUUAUAAGAUCAAUAACAGGACAAGACAGUAACAGUUACUACUAUGUCUACCUCAAUGGCAUCAACAGUUAGUAGCAGCACAAUGAUCUUCUCAGAGAACCUCUGGCGCUCCUCAGCAUCACGAGCAACACGUCUACGAUAAGUGAAGUUGUUGAAGAGAGCCCUUAGCUCCUUCAACUUAGUCUUGGCAAUGGCCAGUUCUCUCAGAGCACGCAGUGCCUGAGACCUCUUAAUCAAGUAAGCCCUGAAGCUCAUUUGAAUCGCUAAAGCUGCAUCUUGUGGUGAUAGUUCCUUCCUCUUCCCCCUUCUCUUCUCCACCCUCUUUGCAAAUACCUACAGAUCAUAAACAAAAAAACGCAAAUUUCAAGAUUGUAACAAUGUCAUUUAAAGAACCAAAAUUAAUUACGAAAAUGUGGAAGCUGAACCUGUCUUAAGACGAGUGCGCCAUGAUGGGUUGGCUCUUCAAUCUCAACCAAGCGUGUACAACCCACAGAUUUCUUCUUCUUCUUCAUCUUAUCUUUCUUCUCUUUUUUCUGACUUUCAUCGCUAUCGCUAUCGGAAUCAGUGACAUUUGAUGCUUUGAAACUGUAACUACGUGAAUCGUCACCUUUUCCUUUGAUCUCAGCACUAAAUUUGUAGUUUUUAUCCAAAGCCCCUUUCUUCUUACCAUCUUUCACCUCAGCAAUCCACUUAUAUUUCCGAUCAACCCCAUCCUUCUCAGGGCUCUUAAUCUCAGCCGUCCACGUGUACUUCCGCUCCCCAAUUUUAUUCUUCUUCUUCUUCUCCGUCAACAUCCGCUCGAGCGCGGUGACUCGGUCAGAGAGACAUUGCAACUCAGUACCGAGUCCUAUCCGGUGCUGGACCCGGCGAGUAGUGCUGUAAAAAGGGGUUGUUUCGAUUUGGAUCAGAUCGGUAAUGGAAUCGAAAUUUUCUAGAUCGAGGAAGGUAUUGGGUGCAUAAGGCUUAGGGCAGAUGAGAUCGAGAGUGCAGUCAAGCUCAUCUUCAAUGUGGAAGUAUGGGUUUAGAAGUAGGGUUUUGGGGGUGAAAAAUGAAGGAGAAGAAGAGUAGUCGAUGAUGUCAAAUCUCCUGAAGCGGCUCAUUUUCGCUUGAAUCUAGCUAAACCAAAUGCUAAAAACUUGAAGAUGCAGAGGUUAAGUUGAGUUGGAGAAGAAGAAGUCAAUAAAAAGGAUAAUGGGAAAGUGACAGUAGGGGUAUUAUGGGUAACAAAUUUGUAGAUAACUUAGGUUGAUUGGUUAAAUCGCCGCGCACAGGAUGUGUGUUUUUACAAAUAUGGCCUUGAAAUGCGGCGUACAAAAUCAUAGACAAGAGAAUCUUCAGAUUGGGAAAGAAGAUGAGGUUAAAGCAUGUGGGGUUCUGGGCCAGCUGUUCAGUUGAAUUCAAAAAUUGAUGAACAGUGAAAUUUUAUCAACUGGAGUACGCUUUAAUCUUUUUUGAUUUUGCAAUUGUCUUUUUGGGAUAUUCCGAAUCAAUUCAAUUAAAUUUGAAUUCCAAAUCAAAAGUUUUAUAUUUUAGGAUACUAAAACUCUACAAAUAUCAAUAGAGAUUUAAAAAAAAAAACUUACUAAAUGUUAUUCAUCCGUCCGAUUUUAUUUAUCAUGAUUUCUAUUUUUAGAGUCAAAGUAUAAAAACUUUGACUAAUAUUUUAAAAUGUAUUUUUUUCGUAUAAUUAUAGAACAUCUAAUUUUUUUAUUUAAAAUAUCAAAUUAAUAUAAUAUAAUUUACCUUUAAAAAUUAAUUAAAUUAAUUUUCGAUAAAGCAUAAUAAUUAGGGAGCAUACUGAUUGAUUUAUUUUGCAUUAGUCAUUGCCAUGUGAAUUCUCGUAAUUUUCAAUAAGAUUUUGCACGUGGUAUAACAUUUUAAGUUGUGUCUUAUUUCAAUUAAGAAAUGGAGAUGGCGAAUUUAAUUUUCUCAUGUCAUCUGGCAUGGUCAAGGUAUGAUGGUCGGCCCAAUACUUAGCCCCUCCAACUUCCAAUUAAUUACAUAUAAAAUAUGCAUAUCAAAUAUUCUUCCUGUGAUAAGCGAAAUGUUAUAAUAAGUCGUUAUUAAUCGGUGAUGAUUUAUGUCACGUUGGAGCAAUCUCCUAUAUCUAAUCCAGUGAUGAUAAAUGGAUGGGUCGUUAAAUAUAAAUCGUAAACAACGUUAAAAUAGGUCAUAAUUUAUUCGCUCAUAUUUAAUAUGAAUAAUAAAUUGAUUAGAUAAUAUACUAAUUUAUCCAUAUUUUUAUGAAUAAAUAGUACUUAAGAAUUUAAUAUGGAAAAAAUAUUUUAAUCCUUUUUAAAUAAAAAAUAUUAAACAUCCUUCAUUUAAAUAUAUCGCAUCAUAAAAAUAAUUUUUCUUAUAACUUUUCAAUUUAAAUAAAUUUAUAUAAUAACAAGAUUAAGUAUUUUUAAUUUUAAAGAAAAUAAAUAUUUACCUUUUGGGACUAAUGAGUACUUUAUUAUAUGUUUUUUUCGUUUUUUUUUUUUAAUUCUAAUAGGCUAUUAGAGUGAACUUUUAUUUCCAACUAUCCCAUUAUACAUUUGCCAUCGGCCACACAGCAUCUCUGUUCACUAUCUUUUAUCAAGCUGAUUUACAAAUUUUGAAUUUUUCCUACCGAACUAAUUUUUAGAGGAUAAAAUUAAUUUCAUCAGUUAUAUUAUAUUAUAUCCUAAUCUUGCUACUACUCGCAAGAUAAUUUAUGCAUGUACCAUAUCCUAGGGAUAUAAUCGUACAAUUAACUGUCAUAGAAAAAUGAAGGAUAAGUAUGGAGCAAAUUAGAAUUACUGCUAUUAAAAGAUGGUGAAGGUUACAAAACUAUCCCCUACUAGACAAGUUCCCUCAAAUACCAAAUGCUUUACAAGUUAAAAAAAAUAAAAAAAAAUGCUCAGCAGUUAUCCAUAAUUUAGUUAGAAUAAGAUCCUCUUUUACAAAUAAAUCAUAUAUAAUAACAUUAGAAGUACGUCGCUAUCUACCUAUGACAAUUCAAAUUCAAAAUAAUAGAAGUAAUUGUAGCAGAUAGAUCAGCAAUUAAAUUUAAUAAAAAAAGUUGCUGAUUCUAAUGAUAACUAAGUAGGAACAAGAAAACCCGAAGGCUGAAUUACAAGAAAAGAAUCAUAAAAUCUCAGCAUAACAAAUCCCACGCAAACUGCACCCAUCAUCACCCCACACCCUAAUACUCCAAAAUACCUCCCAUUUAUAACAUUACCUUCACCAACUUCCUCAAUAUCUUUAACAGGUGAAUCCUCCGGAACGUCGUAAUUAACCGGAUCAGAAUCGCGCUCUACAGCCGCCUCUCCAUCAUCAUUGAUACACGACUGGCUACAAGAACAGACCGAAGCAGCAUCAUGAUCAUUCAUAUUAUUUCCGUCUAAUUGUUGCUGUGAGUGAAGAUCAAAGACGGUUUCAAGUUCGUUGAGUCUGCGACCAAUGUGGUACAAGUGUCGUGGCUUGGACGGGGACGAAGUGAUUUCUGCAGCCAACAGAUGAUUUAGAAAUUCAAGUUGCUGUUCAAUGGCGUGAGAGAGAAUCUCGUGGGUCGCGGAAUCCGGUGGGAACGUGAAGAGCAGAUGGAGAUCCGAUUCCAGUUUUUCCAAUUUCUUCCGCAGUAUUCCAUAUCUCUUCGUCAUUUCUUAAUUCAUACAAGUUUUUUUUCUUUAGUUUCUACUUGUAAAAAUAUUCAUCAUGGUCGCGACGGUUAAUUAAAAAAAACGGUUACUAAUUAUGAAAACCUCCCCUAUAACUACGGAUCAUUUAAUAUUUACUUCCCGCGUAAUUCCGAAAAACUAAUCGAGAGAAUUAAAUUACAUUAAUAACUAAAUCAUAGAAAAACUUGAAAUUAUAAAACUUUUAUCAAGUAUAAAUCAAAAUUAAUGGAGAAAAGUCAAUAAAAAUAGUCUUUUUAUUUCAUAUCAAGGCCUGUUUGGAAAGACACUCUAGCAAUUGAAUUUGGUGUAAUGAUAUAAUUACAUUAUCUUGUCCUGUUUGGAAGGAUAAAUAAUUACUUGGUCAGUAGAUAAUUGAUAUAAUUGACAGGGGAUAAUUACACUCCACAAUUCAAAGAGGGUGUGAAUUGCUGUAAUUACAUGAUUUAAUUAUCACCUGAUUACCUUUUUUUUUUUUUUUUUCAUUUCAAUUUUUAUUUUUUUUACUUCUAUUAUUUUAAGUUUUUUUUUUAUUAUUCUAAAAAUUUGUAAAAGUUUAUUUUUUAAUUUUAUAUUAUUAUAUUUUAUUUUCUUUUUGUUCUCAACCUUACUUUACGUGAUUCUAUGUAAUUUUUUCGUAUUAUCUAUUCACUUUCUGCCAUGCUAUUUUCUCAUUAGCCUAAUUUUAUUAAUAUUCUAAUUUUGAAUUAAAAUAGAAUUUAUUGUUAAGUAAGGUUAUAGACUUACUUUUUCUUUAUUAAGAAAAAAACAAAUAAAAAUCAUAUUUAUUGCUAUGUUGAUAUUUGUUAUAAGAGUAUUAUGUUAAAUUGUUUGUUUUGAAUUUAUAACUUCUUCUAUAUUUUCGGUUUCAUUUGUUUUAGGCCUCAUUUGUUUGCGCUUAAUGGAGGUCUGAAUCUUAAUCAUUCAGAUUUUUAGCCUAUUAAGUACGUUUGAUUUUUAGGUCUGAAUCAGAAUCAUUCAGAUUCAAGCCAUUAAGGUCAUUUGUUUUAUUUCAGACUCAUUUAAUAAGUUAUCAAAUGAUAAAUCAUCGUUUCUGCUUUAAGCGUGCCUUUUUAUCUCAUAACUAAAAACUUUCUCUCUCUUUUCUCAAUCAAACACCAUUUUUUUCCUCUUGAACUGGUAAGUUUUCAUAAAUCAGUUCUUUUUUAUAUUAAUAAUUUUCUUGUAUUGACUUGUCAAGAACACUGUUGGUGUAUUGGCUUUAUCAAGAUUUUUGAAUGAAAAAAAAUUGUACUUUCAAAUCAUGAUUAUUAAAAAUUUUAAUUUUUUUUAUCAAAAGCGAUAUAUUUUGUUAAAAUGAAAUUUUAUGAUAUUUUAUUAAUUUAAUGUUAAUUUCACAGAUAUUGAAAACAAGCAGUAUUAAUUAUUUAGUGUUCAGUUUUAGAAACCACAUAUUAAUAUUGAAAUGUGUAUUCAGAUCAAAACACUUGAAUCUUAAUGCAAAUCUUACUAUUCAGAUGUAUAUUCAGAUUUAGACCUCUUAAACUUAACGGAAACAAAUGAGGCCUUAAUAAUGUUGAAUUUACAUUGAACGUCAUUUUUUAAUUGACUUGAUAGAUUAUAUUUUUGUCAAACAUUUAAUAAUUUAUGUUUCACGAUGUUCGUAGAAACUUCAUACUUUUAGUUGUUACGAUCAAUUCGAUUGAAAUAUAUUAAUUUGAAAAAAAUAUAAAAUCAAUUAUUUAUUCAUAAUAUUAGUUACAGAAAAUAUGUUUAUUAAUUAAUAUAGUUUUAAAAAAGAAUAUAUAUCUUAAAUAUUUAGUUUAAUGUGUAAAGUUUCUUAUUUGUCUAGUAUAAAUUUAAAAUAAUGAAUUUUCAUUUUUAAAAUUUAUUAUAAUUUUAUUAUUGCAAUUGUGCAUCAAAAUAGAACAUGUGUAAUUACACUUUGCCAUCCAAACAUGACAUGUGUAAUUACACUGUGACAAUAAAAUAUGUCAGUAUAAUUACUAGGCUGAUAAUUACUACUCUAAUAAUUAUACCAAUUCUAAUUACCAAGUGAUUUUUCAAACAGAUCCAAGUUAAUUAUCGAGACUUUCAUAAUUCAAAAUAAUUGAAUGUUUUCUGAAAGUUCAACCUAAUUAUUGAAACUUUUUUUUUCUUUCAUAGUUACCUUUUCUAUUAUUAAGAUUCGUAACUAUUUAAAAUUUUCUAAAAGACUAGUUGAGAAAUCAUCAAAAGUAUAAUAGUGAAUAGUAUUCUUCGAUUUUAUCUUUAUAAAAAAAUAUUGUGCUUAUAUAUAAAAACUCAGCUAUUGAGGAUCAACCUCAGACCUCAAAAGUUAUAAAUUCGCACGCUCACCUAUUUUUAUUGUGUCUGAGAGUGUUAAAUUUAUUAUAUUUUCAAAUAUUAGAUAAUAUAUAAUAUUUAAUUUAUAUACACUAUAUAAUUAAUUAGGGCCUUAAAAAUUGUAUCACUUCCUCUUAAUAGCCUCUGUUGUAUUAAGUCUUAUGUCACAGAGUGUAGUGAGUUCCAGCAUUGCUCAUUCUCUUUUUGAUCAUAAUUUUGAACUAUUUACUAAUAUAUGUCCAAGUUUUGUCCAUUUGGCUGUGGACUUUCGUUUUAGGGCACUUUAUUUAACAAGGCUCCAUUUCUCAAUAUCUAUCAAUGUUUGUUUUUCUUUACAAAAUAAGUCACCAGUGCAGUGCUGGAUGAUCUGUUCUUGUAAUUAAAGCAAUUGAUAAUUUGCUGAGUUGUAGUGUGUGAAGACAAUUGGAGAAGUCUUGAGUUUGAGCUAAACAUAUUUGAACACCAUAUAACCAACACACAACAUUAAAAUGAUCACUAUCAACUAACCAAGGUCUAUCAACCUCUUGCUUGCUUAAUGUGUGUUAAUACUGACCACAACUCCAUUCUAUUUUUUAAUAGAGUUAAAAACAUUUAUAAUAGUAACAAGAAAAGAUAAGAGUUCCAGUGAUACCAAUAUCAAUCAAUGAAUUGAUUGAGCAGAAGAUCAAAUGUAAGUCACCUGGCCGUAAUGUGUUUGCAUGAACCUAUGGAGCCUUGUUUGUGGGCUUUGACCCUAGCUAGCUUCCACCAAAGCAGCAAGUUUGAUAUGUUUAUUUCUCAGAUAAAGUACAAGGCAAGUGAUGAGUGAAAAAUAAGGACAUAUGUUGAUAGCAUCCAUAUUGGCAUACCUCCAUUAAAAUUGAUGGGCUUUAAUGGGAAAUCAAGAAUAUCUUUAUCAUGAAAGUGUUCAAAUUCAAGCCUAAAAGUAAGAAGAUUUGGCCACAUGAAGCCCCAAAAGAGAAUCCACCAAAUUAAAAAAAGUUCCUUAUUCUAAAGUUCCCUAGAAAAAUAUUUCCUACAUUUUUUCUAAUCCGUUUCCGAUUCUAAUUUUUUUACUAGUUUUAAUUUUCUAGUUAUGUAAAUAUUCUUAAAUUUUGUUGUGUCUUACCAAGUUCUUCAAAUUUUAUUCAAACUAUCUUAAGAAUAUAAGAUGAACAAAACAAGAUUCAUAAAAGAAAAAUCAUUAGAAAUGCAUGGUUGCUAUAAAUAAGCAAAAUAAUAAUAGGCAAUUUAUGUUAGCACGUGUUAAUUAAAUAAUAGUAGGGCAUUUGAAAAUUAAGCAAGUAUUACACAUGAUAAAUGAUAAUUAAGUGAUAUCUAUGCAGAUCUCCCCUAGCUAUGGCUUCUUCAGAAGUAGAGUUUAUAAUAUUUUAGUACGAAUAUACGAAGAGCAUGGAGAGGUAAUAAAGAGUAGUUUUAUUUAUUAAUUUGAUAGUGUUAUUAAUGUAACAUAGGAAGAUGAGAACUUGCAUAUGCAAAGUUCACUUAUUUAAAUUUUUUUUUAAAAAGGUUUGUACGUGCAUAAUAAUUUCAUAAGCACGACGAUACAUUUAUUUAUUUAUUUAUUAACCCCUUGGAAAUUAAUGAGGCAAAGUAGAGGGUACGUAGUUUAACAAGUGAAGCCAGUAGGAUAUUUCUUUCCACAUGUGUUUAGUAUGAGGCUCAGAGAGAGUGGUACAUUCAAAUUAAUUCCCAGCACAUUUGCUUUUAUGGCUGUGCACAAGCAAACCGCGGCCUCUAGGUCCGUCAGUCCCUGGAUCAAACUGCAGCAUGGCAAAGUUGGUGGAGACCCGACUAUUACAUUCACCAAAUUAAGUAUAUUAGCACACACACCAAGUUUCAAAGUAUCUAUUGAGCAUGUUUGUUGAGAACCAACGCAAUUUCCAGUAUCAUUGGUUCCACUUACAACAGCAAACAACAGGAGAUUCAGUGAUAGGAAAAGGGGUACUGAAGACUGACUUGCAAUUGUUUUGGAAGCCAUAUUCAAAUCUAGAGAAUAUUAAUCAAGCAGUUUAUAUUUCUUAUGAUGAUGAUGUGCAUCUAACCAUGGCUAUUUAUACUAAAUUCUACUACUGUUGCACUUGAAACCAUUUUUAGAUAUUAUUACUUCAACUUAAAUAUUAGAUUAGUAGCAUAUAUGAACUUAGUCAAUUAUUGUCUGCUCAUCUUGAUUAAUUGGUAAUGCAUGAAUAGUUACACGUUGAAAAUGUUAAGGAAGCAUUAAGUAGUACUACUGUAGUAGUAUAAUUAGUAUUAGCCACCACCAAAGGACCGGAAAUGGAUCUCGAGUUUGAGCUCUGAGUAUGGAAAAAUUCUUGAUACAAGACCCUUCCCUCUUAAUAGGAUUCUACGUGAUGUGAGUUUAAAAUAGACAAACUUUAAUACGAAUAACGAACCUGGUUUAAGAAACAAAAAUUAAUAUUGGACUCCACUCACCUCCAAUGUGCCCCUAAUUUAAUUAUAUUACCAUUAAUUUUAAUUUAUAUUACAUGUAUUCAAUUUAAAUAAGAAUUUGACUAAAAUUAGAAAGGAGCUCCAUCCAAUAGUUUGCAUGCAUUCAUGCUCUAUAAUAUAGUUAUUGGAAAUUUAAUAUGCUUUUAGAGUAUUAACUAUUCCCGUGAUCAUUGACAUUUCUACAAACCAACUACAAGUCUGGGGCGACUCGACGAAAUAUGUGGCCUAAAGUUAAUUCUUAAAAAAAAGCCUAAAUAUAUUUCACUUAUUUUAUUUUAUAUUUUUAAUUGGAUUAGGCAUGAGAUUUCAAAUAUAUAAAAAACUUUUGAUACAAUUCUCUAAAAUUAAAUGUGUGUAUAAAAUAAAGAGAUAAGGGUCUCAUAUAUCUCUCAACUUUGUCAUUUAGAGUUGAUAUACUUAUCGUUAUAAAAGUGGCUCUUAUCUACCCCUACUUAUAUAAAAUGACUUACAUAUAUCAUUUUUGUCAAACGGAAAUGAAAAAAAAUUAUUUUUAUUUUUAUUUUUUUAAAAAAAAUAUAUAAUUCCAUAAGAGUAUAUUUAAUCCUCCUUAAACAUAUCUAUUUUUUUGAAUUUUUUUUGUUUCAGUGACUAAUUUAGAUUUAUUAUUUUGAUGAUUAAAUUUAUAUAUGUUUUACUAAUAUUCUUGUAAAACUUAUUAUAGAUGACCAAAUUUUUUUCUUCAAUACAAAAAUUAAAUUACAAUAUAGACCAAAAAAUAGUUUUAAAUUAUAAUAUAGCCAAAAAAAAUAGUUUUACGUUUUUUUUCUUUAUCACACAGGAAUGAAAGAAAAAAUAAAAUAAGAAUAAAAAACUUAAAUAAUUAUAAUAAAAGAAGUCAAAAAAUAAUUUAUGUAUGAAAAAGAUUAAAAUAUACCUUGAACUAUGCUAGAAGAAUCAUAUAUACCCCUAAAUAAUUUUUAAGAAAAUUAAAAGUCAAAAUAUAUAAAUUUUAAACUAAUUUUUUUACUUUCUUUAAAUGAAGGGUAUACGUGAUAUCGUUUUGUAAUGGCAGGGGUAUAUGUGAGCCGUUUGUAUAACGGUAGUGGUAUAUAUGACCCACAUAUAUAAAGAGGGAUAUAUCAAUUCCAAAUGGCAAAGUUGAGGGGUAUAAAUUUUUUUUGAUAAUCCGUUGAGAUCAUCCGCACAAACACAUGGAAAUCAUCUUUAUCGUUAUAUGGACCUUGCGAGUCUCCCAUGGACCACGAACUCUCUCAAUGCAUUUAUGAGAAGUAUAGUGUAUAUAGGGUUGAGAAAGUACUUAAUUUAUAUCUGAGACAUAUCAUUUCAUGGUGUUGCAUUGCAUUGGAUCUCAUGAUUAUUGUCAAAGCCAGAGCCUACACCCUAGACGUGGCCGACACUCGACAACCAUUGUUGGCACUAAGCGAACCCUUGGGCUGACUCAGCUCUCAACAAAAUAUUUACUCAAAAAUAAAUUAACCUCAAUUGUAACUCAACUCAUAACAACAUCACUACUUAAAAAUAGUUUAACUCAAUAAAGUCUUAAAUACUCAAUAACAUAACUAUAAACUCAACUCUUUACACAUCACAAAGAAAAUGGAAAAGACUCCUAAACUACUAUUGUCUAUCUAUGAAGCCUCUAAUAAAUAUGAUGAAAGUCGGUACAAGACCCACAACAUUCUAAAAAAACUGAAAGAUAUAAAUGGAAUCCUUCAGAAGGUGGAGGCUCCCCAAAGCUAACUCAAACUGCAAGUGGUAUCAAUGAAGCACCUGUUGAUGACCCUGGUUAUCUUUAUCUGCAUCAUGAAAGAUGUAGGCCAAAUAACAUCAGUAAUGAAAUGUACAAGCAUGCAAGGGGAACUCUGAAGAACAUAUAUAAGCUUGAACUGAUAAAAAGGAAGAAUAUACUCACCUCAUCUCAACUCAAGGAUACUCAACUCAGUUCAAUAUAAAAACAACAAUAAAAAUACAUUAUAAAUAAAGCUUUUUAAGAGGCGUAUAAUAACUCACUUGCAUCUAAAAAUACAAUAAUAAACUCUUUUACUUUUAUUUGAGAGAUUUUCUGACCGAUAACCAUCACUACGAGUUAUGUGAUGAUACAACAUCUCACCCACGCUGUCAGAACUAUCAUAUACCUUGCCUAAGUAUAAGACAUCCUCAACUAAGUGGAUCUAAUACGCUAUGCUUAAAAGUAAAUAAGGAAUCAUCUAAAAACUAUGAGCUUUUCUACCUGCGUUGACAUACAUGGUUUAUAAGGACUUUGAGUUGUUUGAAGUCGUCCCUAUACCGGUGCUCAAUAUUCUUCCCAAUAAUAUAACUUAUGCUCAUAUGUUUAAGAAACAUUUUCUCAUCCUCAAUCCUUGAGAUUAUUACUCAAAAGAUUUUCUUAAAAGAGAUUAUACUAAAAAACUUAUCUUGAACUCAUUUGAAAAUCGAUGUUUCCUCUCAUUUUAAACGUAAAAGAAUUUACUCUUGAGAAUGCUUGGUUCCCAUAUAUUCAUUUUAAAAAAAUAUGAAACUCAACUACCAUCAUCCUCUCAAGUACUCAAAUAUUAAAAUAAUUCUAUAAAAAAAGUUUGCAAAAGAAUUCUCAAAAUGACUCAAAAAAUUCCCUCAAAAUUUACUCUUUAACUCUAUCUUGAGUUUGAAAUGUAAAUUCGAGAAGUAUGAUCCGGAUAUAUAGGAUCACACAGUGAUUAUUGAAGACUUAGGUAGUUGGAAAUAAGCAACGAGUGAAGACUCAAAUUAGAGAACACUAGUGCGAUGUGGAGAUGAAAUUAGAUUUUCACUACAACAAAUAUGAUAGAUAGCUAUGAAAUUAUUAGCUACAACAUCAAAUUCGUCACUAAUUAUUCGAUUUUAGUGAUAAAAUUUACUUUUCGUGCUUAAAUAUAUGAGACACAUACUUUUAGUGACGAAACAUAAGAAUUCGUCGCUAAUUUUUGUUCACAAAAGUUUCCCACCAAAAAAAAAUUUGGCGCCAUUUGUUAAUUAGUGUUAGUCACGAAGUUAUCAUUUGACACAUUAUUUCGUCACUAAUAAUUUAUUGAAUUUCGGACAAAAAAAAAUUCAUCUAAAAAAUAUGUUGUUAAAAUAACCACAAAUUAGAGUUUGUAGUUAAAUAUUAUAAAUUUUAGCUAUGAAAACGUAUAUUUUAUUAUGAUUUUUAUUUCGUCACUAAUAAUAUAAAUAAUUGGUGACAAAUAUUUCAUUGUCUCUAAUCAAUAUAUGAUUUAGUGACAACAAAAAAAUUGUCACAAAAUAUGUAAGGUGUUUAAUAGCGACGACUUAAAAUUUUUAGUGAAUAAUUAAACUAUUUGCUACGAAAAAAUGCAUAGCUAAAUACAAUUUUUUUUUGCUACAAUUGUUCAUAAUUACAAAUGACAAAUUACAAAAAUAAUAAUACAAGUGCUUCAUAAGAAGUAGACAUAGUCCAUUCGUUAACUGACAAGUGAAAAUAUAAAAACCAAUGAAUUUGGUCGAUUUUGUAAAACGAUCAAAUACAUCUGUUUUCUUAAAUUACACAAUUAUAUAAUGCAUCAUUUGAAUAUACAAUCCGGGUUAAAAAUAUUGUGAGUAAGCAUGGUUCUACCAAUAGAUCACUAAUAUUUGUUAGUUUAACACUUUUGUUUUUUAUUUAACACACUUUUAUUGAUAAGCACGAUAAAAAAUAAUUUGUAGUCUUUAUGCGAAUCUUUGUGCAUGUCUAUUAAUUUAUUAUUGGUAAACUACAUAGAUUAAGUAGAUCUAUAUGUUUUUGUCUAUAAAUAUGUACAUAUUAAAUAUUAGUUCCACUCACGUAUGUAGAGUAACUAUACCGAGAUAACAUCGACUUAUAAACUUUGACUUUGCAAAGGUGCAAUAUAUUUCAUGAAUUUCUAUUAAUUUUUUCCAUCAGUGUGAAAAUUGAAAUAAACUAAAAAAUGAAAGCACAUAUAAAAGAAAUGAAAUAACGAGGAUUUCAGAUAUAUUAUGAUGAAUUACUAUAGUUAUGGGUAUUGAUGUUCAACUUGAACUGAUUAUUCAUUUUUUUAAUAAAAUCAAAAGUAGAUUUUAAAUAAAUAUAUUAUUGUACUGAAUAAUUAUUAAAAUUUACAAAAAUAAAUAAAUAAAAUGAGAAAAUUGAACAGAAUAUAUUUAAAGAUAUUUAAAAAAUACACAGUUUAAUUAAAAUAUAAUCUACAUUUGAAUGAAUUGUGGGUGGUAAAUUUCAUGCAUUUGUAUAUGAGCAUAAAUAAUCAUAUAAUAUAUUAUUUCUACAAAAGUUAAAUUUGAAAAAAGUGAAUGAAGUAUAAAAUAAAAUAAAAAUGAACAAGAGGGAGUUGGUCUGAUGGUAAGCACUCUUCAUUUCCAACCUUAAGGUUCUGAGUUUGAUUCCCCGAGGCAGCAUCAUGUGUGAGCUCCUGGCCAAUGUUGAAAAAAUUUGAGAUGGGAGAGGGGGGUGGGGGUGGGGGAGAGAGGAAGAUAUAUAUGUAUAUACAUUUAAAAACAAAAUAAUUUUUUGUAUAUAAAAUAUAUAUCAUUAGUGACGAAAUUAAUUUUUUUUCAGCUACAAAAUAUAUAUAACUUUUGAUACAAUUGAUUACGUCACUGAUUGAAGUAAAAUAAUUGGCGACGAUAUAAUUUUAUCGGUAGUAAUAACCUUUUUAGUGACAAAGCAUACUAUUAACUACAAAAAAUACACUUUUUACAACAAGUAAAUUUGUUACAAAUGAUUAAGCAUUUAGUGACAAUUUCUUUUUUUGUAGUUAAUAUAAUACUUUUAGCGACGAAACACUAAAUUGUCUUUGUUACUUUUAGUGACACACAUUUAAAGACGACUGAGUGACAAAUUAUUUUUCGUCACACAAUAUUUUUAAUGACGAAAUUAUUUGUCCCUGAUAAUCGAAUUUGUUGUAGUGUUUGAUCGCAAAAUAUUUUUGAAGCAGAUGACUUCGUAUCCUCUCUGCAACUCGGAAAGGGGUGAUUAUUUGGGGGACUGAAAUUCUAAGAGCCUCCGCGAUGCGGACCUAAGCACUAUUAUUUGCCUGAUCUUUUCCUCUCCUUCCAAACUCAAUUCAACUUAUACCUAAAGUCAAAAUUCUCGAAUUUUCAUUACUCAAAAUAGUUGUAGCGAUACCCAAACAAAGAACUAUCAAUUAACUGAACUCACUUGCAAACUCUUGACUCAAGAACUCAAAUCAGCACUGAAUUGCCAAUUAAAUUCAAGAACUUCUCAAAAACUCAAUAAUUUGACAUCAAGAAUGAAUUCCUGGGUAAAAAGAUUACAUGAUUUGCGUGAGAGAGAACACAUCCAACACGUGACAUACAAUGCAUUCUUCAAAAAAAAAAAAUCCCAAAAAACGAUGAUGUUAGUCGCUUUAUUGCAAUGCUUCAGUUGAUUUUUGAAAAUUGUCAACUAAAAAAGCGACCCAUUGGAACGCACAACUUUUUCGUCGAUUUUGACCUAAAAAGCAAAGCAGUUCAUCUCUUUUUUUGUCCUUUUUGUUAUUUUUAGUAGCAUAUAAAUCAUGUGAAAAUUAAAUUUGCUCACGAAAUUUAAAAUAUUUCUAAAUAAAUAUCAUGUUUGAUUAAAAAAUAUUUUUUUAUAUUUUGUACACACAUUGUAACGAUAUGUUUCUUUGUUAUGGAAAAGCCAACGGGAAAAAAAAUUUGAGCUAGAAAACCUUUAUUUUUUGUAGUAUUUGGAAAUUCUAGGCUAGGCCAGACUUGGACGAAAUCUGAGAUCUGGGGAAGUCUAGAGAGAUCUGGUAGUGAAUCUGGAAUCUGAUUAAGAAUUUGAUCACAUGAGCGGAUAAUCAAGACGUUAAGGAGCUUGUACGACUUUACGAAAUCGAAUUCGGGGGAGUAUAACUUUUGAAACUGAGCUUAGUAUGAAAGGGUAGUUUCUGAACGUCUAGGGUUGAAGAUGUAUUGUGAAAUGAGAGCUUGAAAUUUAAAUUCCGAGUUUUUGUCUUAGUGCAAGCCGUCAGGGCGGGAUUGUUCCCGUAAUGGAAAGGUCGAUGUGGUGGAUUGGAUCCCGCAAUGGCGGGCCAAUCGCGACUUAAGUCAGGAAAAAAAUCCAAAAUCACUUUUUCCUGUAAAACUUCAUUCUUAAGAGAUGGGAGACAAUCCAGGUUGAUUUCUUGACAGUUUUCCACGAUUUUUAGUGCUAAAGGUAAGGAUUUUACUCCUCUAAUCUGUAUUUCGAUUCCUAGAACUUUGAAUCUUGGAUAAUUAUCAUUGGAGAGGAUUUUGGCCUGAAGUUAAUGGUGGGAAUAAGUCCUAGAUGAAUAUUAGGAUUAUGGGUUUGGUCUUGGGUUAUUAAGAUUAUUAUCCAGGUAAAUUAGACCUUGUUUAUUGAUCAUUGGUUAAAAUACUUGUUUAUAGACCAAGUAUGACACCCCAAAAAAAAAUUUAAGUUAAGACUUGUAUAAUUCUUCGCAAAGUAAGUUUUUACCAAGAAAUUUUAUAUUUUUCUUAAGAGUUAAGGUUAUUAGAUAUAUCACCUUGAAUUCCAAAAAAAAUUAAAGAUAUUCAUUCAAGUCAUUCCUUAGUUCUUUUAAGUUUUGGGUCAACUUCAAAUGAUCAUACCUUUUAGCACAGGAUGAGUUAGGAGACCCAUAAGAUUUCAAAUGAAAGGUCUUAGAAUCCUUUUUUCAACAUCACCGAGUUUGCUAAUUUUUAAGCUCGUAUGAGUAAGAUAUGCUCGUUUGAAGUCGGAUUGUCCAAAUAAAGAAAGUUACCCAAAAAUAUGAGAGGUAUUUUGGUGUUUUCUUACCCAAUCGAAUUCAAAUGUUUUUAGUAAGGUUUUAGGAGUCUAAACUGGUUAAAAUCAAUUUCAUUCAUUCUUAAAUUUAGAAUUUUAGAGAGAAGAUUCAACAGGAGAAAAAGUUCAUAGUUUCAAACGUUCAUUCAAGAAAUUCAAGAUUUCACCAAAAACCUAAUUCUUUGACGUACGUAAGCUUCCGUAGUGUAGGUAUCAUUCAUCCACACACCAAUCAUAAGUUUCUUUUGUGAAUCUAUCCAUAGAUAUUGAGCAAUUUAAUUUCUUGAUGAGUUCUUGAUAAGUGUUCUUGAAGUUUCCUUAUUAAUUAAGUUUUGUUGUAAGUUUCUACUUGGGUCAAUUUCAAAUGACCAUCUCUAAGAAUAUAAAGAGUUACGUGGGUCAUAACCUAUCAAAUUAAGCGUAUUUGAAUCUACUUUUCAACGCCAUCAAUUUUGCGUAAAUCUAAUUUUUGAGUAAAAAUUUAUGACUAUUUUAGUAAUUUGAUACAGUGUUGUCACGAAUUAGCCGACGUGAAAAUAUUAAAAAGCAAUGUUUUUUUCUUUUUACCCCCAAAAAACCCUAAAAAAAUUUCUUGACUAAUAAAAGGCUAAAAAAUAUAAGAUUUUCAUCUUUUAAUCCAUCAUUCUCUUCUCUCUCAAACCCUAGGGCAAAACCCUAAGGAAAGAUUCUUUCAAUCUUUUUCAAGAUUCUUCUUUAAGGUAAGCCUUUCUCCAAGAAUUCAUUCUUUUCAACUCAAAUUCCUCCAUACAAUUGUGAAUCACUAAUGAAAAUCAUAAUUCUUGGACAUAUAUAUUUCAAGAAACUAAUUCAAGAAUCUCAAAGAAGAUUUUCUUGAUUGUUUACUUUCAAUCUGGGAUUUUAAGGCUUCUAAUAAAGUUCUUCUUUAAUGUUACUAGUUCUUCCUCACACCCUACAUCUUCUUUCAAAUCAAUAAAAGAGAAAUCUAGGAUUCUUCUAAGAUUUGAGCAUUCAUGAGAUAAGUUGAUUUUAGUUCUUGAGUUCAUAAUUAUUUUAAAGAUUUUAUUCCUAAUUAUUGACUUUCCAUGUUUUAAUUGAGAUUCUUUAGUUAAAUCAUUCAUGUCUAUAAUUCAGUAUGAACCCUAUUUUGAGUUGUAAAUUUUAAGAAGUUUUUUCAAAGCGAACACUUUAGUUUUGGACUAAGUUUUGAGGAAGUAAGUAUAAGAAUGAGAAGAGUCUUAUACAUGAGUUCCAUAUUAUUAUGAAGACUCUUGAGUCGAGUCUUUCAUGCCUAUAAAUUCUGCAUGAACUCCAUACAUUGAGAAUCUUUGAGAGGAGUAGUAUCUUCUAAUUUUAAGUCUUUAGGCAUUAAGUUUCUAAUUGUUUUGAGAUUAUAUUCCUACUUAUGAGACUACUACAUGUUACCCAUGAAGCCCUUGAGUUGAGUUGUUCAUGUCCAUAAUUUCGCAUAAACCCUAUGAUUCAAGGAGUCUAGAUAUGAGUAGUAUCACUGAGCCUUAAGUUCUAAAUAUUAAGUUUCUUUAUUGCUAUUAAGAUCCCUAAGUUGAGUCGUCCAUGUUAAUAAUUCUAUAUGAACCCUAUGAUUUGAGUUAUAAGUUUUAGAAAGCAUUUUAAAGUCAACACUUGAGUUCUUAAUGUAAGUUUUGAGAAAGUAAAGAUAAGUUUUGAUAAAAGAGUUUUCUUAAAGAUGAUUAGUAUGACAAUCGAAUAUGUCAUCAUUGUAUGAGUAGUAUGGUAUCUAUAUAUACCAUCAAUAUUUAUGACGUCUGACUUCCCGAGUCAUCAAUGAUCAUAUUAUAAUAUGAUUUUGAAUUUUUUUUGAGAAAGAGCAUAGUUGAGUUCAUUUUCCUUAAAAUUAUAUAUGGAAACUAAUUAUUCCCAAGAGUAAAUGUUCUCUAAGAUAAGAGAAAACUAAGAUUUACAAAAGAGUUUUGAGCAAUUUAAGUACCAUAUUUUUAACAGAAAGUUUUUUAAGUAAUUAUCACAAACCACAGAAAAAAAAUAUGUUUCUAAACGUAUGAGCUAGUAUCUUUUGGGAGUAGUUUUGAGCACCGAUAUGGGGGAGAUUUCAGAUUACUCACAAGCCCUACAAACCAUGUAGUCAACGUGGGUACAAAGGGUCAUACUUUGCAGACGACUCCUUAAUGCUUUUUAGUAUAGACUAGUGGAUCCACUUAGUAGUAGGUCUUAUACAUGACAAAGUAUAGGGUAGUUCUGACAGCGUGGCCGAGAUGUUGUAUCAUCACAUAGGUCAUAGUAAUGGUUGUCACUUGGAGCUUAUUUACAUAUUUUACUUUGUAUUUUCAUAUACAAGUAGAUUUAUGUUGUAUCCUUGCAUACAAAUUGAGUUACUAUUGUAUUUUUUCAAUACAUCGAGUUAAUUUCUACUAUUUAAAAAGUUUUUCGUUUAUAACACCUCUUUUGUUGUUUUAUCUUAAAUUGAGUAUCCACAGUUGAGUAUUUUGAGUUGAGUUGAGUAUCUUUGAGUUGAGUAUAAUAUCUUUGAGUUUAGUAUCUUAUUCUUCAGAUUAGUUGAGUGAGUUGAUAAAAGGUAAGUAUGUUUCCUUUUUAUAAAAUUCAAACAUAUAUUUAUGCUUUAGAAUUCCCCUUAUAUGCUCGUACAUUCCACGUAUAGAGCCAUUUAUCGUGCAUAAUUUUGUUAUGCAGAUACAUGUAUUCAGGAUCAUCAACAAGCAAUUCGUUGAGGUCAUGUCAUAUUCCAGUCACCUUUGGUGAGACUUCUAAUAUUUCGAAGGACUUCACCUUUAUCUUACAUUUAGUAGUUUUGAGAGGUCAUGGGUCUUAUCUCGAUAUCCUUCUGUAAAGUAGAGUCUUCAUAGAUAGAUAGAGUUAAGGAGUUUUUGUAUUUACUUUUAUUUUGAGUAUUGUACAGACUUUUAAAAAGGUUGAAGAUUUGAGUUUAUUGAAUUUAUUUUAGUUUUAAGCUUUUGUAUGCUUGAAUUAGUCUUCCACUUCUAGCCAGCUAGGACGAGGGUUUUCUUGGAAAUCACCAAUGGUUCUCGAGGGUUGGGCACUUUCAAGGUGUAGGCUUAAGUCGUGACACCAAGAACAAGUGAAAGAAUCCGAAAAGGAAAGACUCAAGUGUAUUAGGAGGAUUCAAGCUUGGUUUGAGGUAGAUAAUGGUUUGAUUUCCUGUUUGUGUAAUAUAUGUCGGUUGAUUGCUACUUUAUAUUACAGGCGUGUAUGUGAAUAGGGAAAUGUGAACCAAUCUAAUGAAAUGAUUAUGUGUGAACAAUAUAUGUCACGAAUUUGUUACUUGCUUGUAUGAUUGAGUAUUAGUCAUGAUAGAUGUGAUUAUAAUUGUGGUUGUGCUGAUUGGAUCGAGUGUCACAUUCUGACACAUGUAUUAGAUCGGGUGUCACAUUUCGACACAUAUAUUAGAUCGAAUAUCAUGUUUCGACACAUAUAUUAGAUCGGAUGUUAAGUUUUGAAACAAUAAUAAUUUGGGGAUGGGUUCCAUGAGACUACCAUUUGUGAUAAUUGUGUUAUAUCUUAUUUUCACUGAAAUUAGAAAAUUGUAUGUUACUCCUAAAAUGAUAACUGAACUAUAUUUUGUUUAAGUGUGCUUAUUGUGUUGUAAUUGUUCGUUCACUACUAAAAAAAUAAUAUUUAGCGACGGAUAUUAGUGACGAACAGUAUUUCGUCACUAUAUAAUGACGGAUUUGCGAUGGAAUAAACAUUUUGUUGCAAAAUUAAACAAGUAAUAUUUUGAUUUAUAAUAUAGCAACAUAUUUACAACGGAAUAUAUAAUCCGUCUCUAAAUAUUAGCGCAAAAAUUUGGCGCCUAAUUUUCCCUACAGAUUUAGUAACAAAGUAGUGGUGACGAAUUUAAUUAAUAUUGGGCGACGGAACUAGUGACCAAAAAAAGGUUGCUAAACUAUCAAAUAUAUUUUUUAUAAAAAAUAUAUUAUAUAGUGACGAAAAUAUUUGUCAAUAUAAUUUUUCUAAAUAUAUAUAUUUAUUUGAAACCAACGGAUUUUAGAAUUCGUCACUAAUUCCGUUGCAAACUCAAAUUUCAGAUUUCCAUUACUCUCAUUUAAUCUCAUCCGUCCAUCAUAAUUAUCAAACUCCAAGAGUCAAUCUCAUCCGCUCAUCCGAAUUUAUCAAUUGUCCUGCUUUAAGACCCUUGCUUUCCCAUCUUAUACAAAAGAUCCCAAAUCCCUAAUUUUCUUCAUUCUCUUCCUCUCCUCUACAAGUCCGCUGCCCAGGCCUUGUUUGCCUUCUUCUCCGUUCUUUUUUUCGGCCUUUGCAGCCUGGAGAACGAGUAGUGAACAACAAUGGUGAGCUCCGAAAGACUUGCGACGACCACCGAACCUCCUUCGUUGGCAGAAGAUCAAGUUGGCGAGCAAUUAGGCGACCAGGUGGUCUCCGUCCGGCUACAGCAACAACACAAAGAUAGCGCCAUCAAUUGCCUUCCUCUCCGGUGAAGAAGGACAGCAACUUUAGCUACACGCUGUGAGCAGCGAUGGUGAGCACCGGCAGCAUCCAAAUCCAGCGAGCAACAUAGGAACAAAAUCUAGGGAGAACACAACAACAAUUUCAGUCAUAGGAGCUCUAUGAGGAUUUUAGGUGAAGAAACUCUUUCCUUCAAUGCUCUGUAAAUAAAGCAUUCUUAUCAUAUCUUUUAUCGAAACACUAAGAGAUUAAAUUAAUAAAAUGACAACAAUUCUUAUAUAAUUUGGUUUUGUCUGUUUCUUGAAAGAUAUAUCAAAGCAAUUGUUCCAAAACAAGUAAUCUAUGGCUUUCGUGAGAAUGAUGUUAGCUUAACUAAAGUUUCUUUAACUCAAGUCAGAUGCCACCUCUUGACGUUUGUGAGAUAUAGUAAGCAAUCAAAAUAUGUGAUUUGAUUGUUUUUUUCUUCUUCAAGUGGAACUUAUAAAUAGGGUAGUAUAAAUCAACAGAAGCAAUUCGAGUAGUUCAAAAGGAAAUGUACGUUUUUUCUGUACAAUAUGGUGGUGUUUCUAUAAGAUCCAUCAAAGACCAAUGUGUUCUUAUAUUCAUUUUCAUUAUCCUUGAUUCCCUCAACUUUGUGUUAGCCAUUUUAUAUUUGUCUCCUUUAUGCCCCCUUUCCCCCUUUUCAGUUCACAUUGAAGCUGGUGCAUUUAGGUGUAUAAAGAUAACUUGUUAUUCCAAAUGUAUCAUUAUGUUGGCGGGCAUGAAGUUGUUGUUGUACUUACACGGGUGACUCUAUCUCAAUUGGAGAAUAUUGCAGAAAACUUGUAAGUAUAUAUUUCACAAAUUAUAUAAGUACUAUCUUUAGGUUGUAUGAUCUAUACACAUGUAUCUAAACACACAUUACACAAUAUAUAUUAUUGUAUUUAAAGGUGAUUUAUCUUUUGUAUAGGCUAAAGGAUCGAGAUCCAACACCAAGCGAGUUACAUUUGCACGUCCAUACACAUGGUCAUGAUGAAAAAUCUUUUGUUGAUGAGCGCUCUCAAAUUGUCCAUGUAGGUCGAAAAAAUAAACAUGUAGUUGCUAAUUAGAAUGAGCUCUCUAAUUCUUGUUUAAUUUCUUAUUUUUUUUCUUAGCUUACUGUUUCGUGUUUCGUGAACCUGUUGUAUGCUUGGGAUUUAUGUGUUUGUGAUUUGUUAACUCUAACUGAUUUGCCUUCUUAAGCUGGAAUUUUUUAGUCACAGUUUGAGUCUUUUUGUUUAUUUAUUAAUCAAGUCUUUGCCAUGUGAACCCCUUUCUUAAUUCUUUGUAGUAUUCGAGUGUUCAAUUCUUUGUUUAAUUUGCUCACUGUAAACAUUGAUUGUUAAUUUUGACUAUAUUUUUUUUGUUAUUAUUUAGGAGUCAAAUGUGAUGAAUUAGUAGAAAUCCGAUUAAUUUAUCAUGAGUAGUGGUUAAAUUUAUCUAGAAUUAAUUUUUAUAACUUUUACAUGAUUUUAAGUCAUUGUACAUUUGUUGUUUCAUUUUCUUGCUCCUUGGAUGUUCAUUAUUUGUUAUUGAGGAAUGAUUUGGAUGUAAUAUUGUUGCUAUACUUAUUUUGGGUUCUAAUUCCUAUUUUUUUUGUAUCAUGUACAAUCAUGUGGAGUCCAAAUUGGACUCGAAUAUGUUUUCCUUCGCAUUUCUAAUGAGCCAUGAAAGCUCAAGUCCCGAGUGAAUCCUUGACUAUCACUGGGAAGUCGGAAGAGAAUUGCUCUAUUGUCUAUCUUCAAUAAGGAGAUUUCCAUCAUAUUAAUUUUAGUUUGUACAAUUCAAAUAAGAUGCAAAAAGUAAUUACCAAGAUAAGUCUGAAGAGGGAGAAUUUUCUCAAAAGAAAAUUAAGGAAAAAAAAGUAAUACAAGAAGUUGAUAGUCAUUUAUAAUUCGUAUUCUCAUUUAGUUAAUCCAAGAGGGUGAUGCUAGUAACCAUUAAGCAAAAUCGAGAAAAGGCAACAUAACAAAAUAAUCUUACAUGCAUAUGCUUCUGUGUAGUUUACGUUACGAUGAUACUCGUUGGGACUUAUUGUUGCUAUGUUACAUUGUUUAUGAAUUUUUUCAAAAGGAUUUAUGGCAUAAAGUGCUUGUUAUAGACCAUAGCAGUAAAUUGGAUCAGGUAGCUAUUUUUUUUCUUGACAUUUAUAUGAAUUACAUUUGUUUGGUCUUGAAACAUCUGAAAUCCAUUCAAGAUUCUCUGAACUUUGAGGUAUCAAUUACAGUGUGUUUCUUUAUUUGUUUUUUUAUUUAGUUUUUUCACAACAAAAAAAGGGUCAAAAUUAUCCCUAUCAUAUUAUAAAUGACUCAAAAACAUUUUUCUUUUCCCUUAUGGGAUCACUGAUCAAGUUUUAGUUUAGGUCCAUAUCUACUUUCUAAUUUGUCUCCUCAUGUGUUUAUUGGGGACUAGUGUAAAGUUGUAGGCUUAUAGCAAAUAUUCUUGAAUACUGUGUUGUUGUACGUAAUUAUCAUUUCACUCAUUUUUAAUCUAAGUUUAAAUGUAAUGUAUAUGUAAUGUAUGUUAGCUAAAAAAGUAUAGUACAUUUAGUUAAUCUAAAAGGUUGUGUAUGUUACUACACUUUCUUUUAAAUAUUAUUUUGUUACUAAUUUUUAGUGCUUUCUCUUUAUCUUUAUUUACAGGAAAAAUAUGAAGAAAUAUUAUGGGGGAAGGUCUCAAUUUGAUAUUGAUCAAUCUGAAGCAUACUACAAAAGUUGAUGAACAAAGGUUCUCUUAAGAAUAGUUGAUAGAUUAUUUUUGAUGUUUUGCUCCAAAAUAUGUGAUUUAGAUUUUGCUAUGUACAGAUUUUGAACCGUCUAAGUAUUAUUUUUUAUGAAUAUUUGUUAUUUUAGAGGUACUUUUAGUAAAUGUUAUUUAAUUUAUUUCAGCAAUGUAUAUUUAAAAUAAAUAAAUGAAAUUAUUUUACAAGAAACUUUUUAACAACAAAUUUAAUAAUGAUUUGGUCAUUGCUAUAAAAAAAAUAUUGGCGACGAAUCAGCAACGAAAUAUUUUAGUGGCAAAUAUGUUGGCUCAAAUAACAGAAUAUUUUGUGAUGGAUUAGUGACGUAAACUUCGUCAAAAAUUUAUUUGAAAUGACGAAAUUACUUAUGAAAUAGCAACGAACUAUAUAAGCAUAACGAUGGACCAGUCUGUCACUAACAAGUGGCGACGAAUAUCAUUCGUCUCUAAUAUGUCGCUAAUCUUGCGAUGGUCUCAUUUUUUUGUCGCUAAGAGAUUACUAACGAGCGAAAUAGCAACAACCAGCAAUUUUUCGCAAAUCCGAUUUAGUGACGAAAUACCAUAGAUUAGCGACGGAUUUCACCCGUCGCUAAAUGUUUUUUUUUUUGUAGUGAUUGUAUAUUGUGCUUAUGGGAGUAGUCGCGUGAUCCUAUCAGUACAUUCUGGUUAUGUACUGAUAACUGAUACUGCACUUGGUCUUUCUUGUUGAGUACAGGGCAUUUUCAGCCUGAUAGACCUCAGUUAGGAGACUAUUGUUCGAUGACCGGAUGCAAGGGUAAGCCAGUUCUUUCAUACUAUCAUGGAUAUUUUUUGUUUGAAUCCACUCUUUUCGGACUCAGACUAUUUAGUAAGGGUUUGCUUAUGUUAGUUGGGUUGCAUCCCUUUUCCUUAGAUUUGAUGGUUUACAAAGUUUUGGUACAAUGAAUUUUAGGUUCUAGGAGUUGUUUUCUGCAAUGGUUUUGGUAGUUGUUUUUGUUAAACUUUCAGAGUUUAUGGAAACUCCAUAUUUCGUUCGACAUUUAGACUUGCUUCAGUGUGUUUAAAUGUUCUAGAUUUUGUUAGGUCGUAGAAAUGGCUCUCCCACCAGAGGGUUAGUGUGGGUGUCAAUCACGACGGUCUGAAACGUGCCACACAUUUAAUUUUAGAGAAUUGUGUCAAAAGUUUUUUAUAUAUUUGAAACUUCAUGUCUAAUCAAAUUAAAAAAUAUAAAAUAAAAUAAGUGAAAUAUAUUUAGGCUUUUUUUUUAAAGAAUUAACUUUAGGCCACAUAUUUUGUUGAGUCGCCCCAGACUUGUAGUUGGUUUGUAGAAAUGUCAAUGAUCACGGGAAUAGUUAAUACUCUAAAAGCAUAUUAAAUUUCCAAUAACUAUAUUAUAGAGCAUGAAUGCAUGCAAACUAUUGGAUGGAGCUCCUUUCUAAUUUUAGUCAAAUUCUUAUUUAAAUUGAAUACAUGUAAUAUAAAUUAAAAUUAAUGGUAAUAUAAUUAAAUUAGGGGCACAUUGGAGGUGAGUGGAGUCCAAUAUUAAUUUUUGUUUCUUAAACCAGGUUCGUUAUUCGUAUUAAAGUUUGUCUAUUUUAAACUCAUAUCACGUAGAAUCCUAUUAAGAGGGAAGGGUCUUGUAUCAAGAAUUUUUCCAUACUCAGAGCUCAAACUCGAGAUCCAUUUCCGGUCCUUUGGUGGUGGCUAAUACUAAUUAUACUACUACAGUAGUACUACUUAAUGCUUCCUUAACAUUUUCAACGUGUAACUAUUCAUGCAUUACCAAUUAAUCAAGAUGAGCAGACAAUAAUUGACUAAGUUCAUAUAUGCUACUAAUCUAAUAUUUAAGUUGAAGUAAUAAUAUCUAAAAAUAGUUUCAAGUGCAACAGUAGUAGAAUUUAGUAUAAAUAGCCAUGGUUAGAUGCACAUCAUCAUCAUAAGAAAUAUAAACUGCUUGAUUAAUAUUCUCUAGAUUUGAAUAUGGCUUCCAAAACAAUUGCAAGUCAGUCUUCAGUAACCCUUUUCCUAUCACUGAAUCUCCUGUUGUUUGCUGUUGUAAGUGGAACCAAUGAUACUGGAAAUUGCGUUGGUUCUCAACAAACAUGCUCAAUAGAUACUUUGAAACUUGGUGUGUGUGCUAAUAUACUUAAUUUGGUGAAUGUAAUAGUCGGGUCUCCACCAACUUUGCCAUGCUGCAGUUUGAUCCAGGGACUGACGGACCUAGAGGCCGCGGUUUGCUUGUGCACAGCCAUAAAAGCAAAUGUGCUGGGAAUUAAUUUGAAUGUACCACUCUCUCUGAGCCUCAUACUAAACACAUGUGGAAAGAAAUAUCCUACUGGCUUCACUUGUUAAACUACGUACCCUCUACUUUGCCUCAUUAAUUUCCAAGGGGUUAAUAAAUAAAUAAAUAAAUGUAUCGUCGUGCUUAUGAAAUUAUUAUGCACGUACGAACCUUUUUAAAAAAAAAUUUAAAUAAGUGAACUUUGCAUAUGCAAGUUCUCAUCUUCCUAUGUUACAUUAAUAAUACUAUCAAAUUAAUAAAUAAAACUACUCUUUAUCACCUCUCCAUGCUCUUCGUAUAUUCGUACUAUAAUAUUAUAAACUCUACUUUUUGAAGAAGCCAUAGCUAGGGGAAAUCUGCAUAGAUAUCACUUAAUAAUCAUUUAUCAUGUGUAAUACUUGCUUACAAAUGCCCUACUAUUAUUUAAUUGACACGUGCUAACAUAAAUUGCCUAUUAUUAUUUAGCUUAUUUAUAGCAACCAUGUAUUUCUAAUGAUUUUUCUUUUAUGAAUCUUAUACAUAAGUUAAUUUAAUUAAUUAUCUACAUACCUUAUAUUAAAGCAGCAUCUUCAAAAGUAUGUUAGUCGACUUGUAUAAUAGCAUCUCGCACCUUACAAAUUUUGCUUAUAGGAAUUUUUUUUUGCAUAAAACAUGUAGUAUACAUAGCAUGCCUAUAGGGAAAAUUUACAAUGCAUUUUCUGUCUGUUUAGUAAUCAUGCCUAUAUGGCCAUUUAAUUAAAUUGAAUUCGUUUUCAUAUGAUCGACAAUAUACAUUAAGACAGUCCCAAUAAUCUUUUGGUUUAUCCCAUUAUGUGUUUAUGCAUUUUAAAAGUAAUUUAUUAAUCACGCCUACAAGAAUUAAUAUCAUUUAAGCUCUCCUUAGAUAUCUUGUUUUUAGAUUUUAAUGGCUAACAUGUCUUUAGUAUUGUAUAGCAACAGACUUAAGUCAUACGUGUUUCCUUAAAGUUAUUUGCAUAUUUUAUUUAAAUAACUCAAUUAUAGGUUAUGCCUAUUGAACAUCUCAAUUGUUCAAAAGUCAUUCCUAUUGGACACAAAAUAGUGACAUCACAAAAAAACGUGUGGUUCGCUACUAUCAAAAUAUAUUUUUUUUAACUUAUACCACUAAACUAAAUUUUUUAAAAAAAUAAUAAUUAACAAAAAUAAAAGAAGAAGGAAGAGUCAUCGUCUUCCCCACCCCAAUAUUUCCUUCCCUGCAACUUUUUUCAAUUUCUCAUCCUCCAUUUUCAUCCUCUGUUUUACAUACAUGCUCAACCCUCCCCAUUCUCUGCACCCCAUUUCGGUGAAUCUAUAUUUAUUUCAAUGAGAAAAAUAUGAAUUAAUUUUUCAGCUAAAAGUUUGUUAUUAUAUUUUGCAAUUUUGAUAAAUAAUUACUAAUGGUAAGAAGAUGAAGACAAUGAGUAACAGAUUUGAUGCUAUCAAUAUGAAGAAAACUAAUAUUCCCUCCGUUUCAAAAAGGAUGAUUUAGUUUGACUUGGAGUUUAAAAAAAGAAAGAAAACUUUUUAAUCUUGUGGUUCUAAAUUAAAGUUAUGUCAAAUAUACCAAAAUGUCCUUUAAUCUUGUGGUCUUAAACAUGUCACGUGGAAAGUUAAAGUUAAAGUGUUGCAUAAAAGGAAAGGAGUCAUUCUUUAGAAACAAACUAAAAAAUAAAUAGACAUUUUUUUUUGAAACGGAGAGAGUAAGUUCAAGUAUUAGCUAAUUUCUAACUUUCAUUAUUUCACUAGCACUUGAACUAUUCAAUAGAGAAUCCAAAUUGCAUCUUUACAUAGAAAUCAUAACGGAUAAAACUGAAUGAAGGAGAAGAAAGAGGUAGGGAGAUGAUUUGCUUGAGUUAAUACUAUGGUCACUAAAUUAUGUGUUCAAGUUUCAAUUUUACUUCAAAAGUCACUUAACUAUGCACAUUUCUCUCAUAAAGUCACUCAACUUUUAGUUUUAAUUCAAAAGUCACUCAACUAUUCACUCUUCUCUCAAAAAGUCACUCAAUUUAUUUAAUUAUUUUUAAUUAAAAUUUAUUUAUAACAAAUCAAAAUUUUAAAAAAUAAACAAUACCAUUUAAACAAUGCAAUGACCCGUUCUACUUGACCCGACCCACUAAAAUAUAAUAUUGACCCAUUUUAUGACUAUUUCUCCUCGGCGUUUUUUUUUUCUUUCUAAAAGAGGAAGAAGAAAAAUUAUUUGAACAACAUUUAUUUCAAGGAAUGGGUACUCUGUUCAGAGAAGGAACAAGAUUCAUGACUGAUUUAAAUGUAAUUCAUGUAAUUGAAUCUAUAUGUUCAGGAACUGAAAUCAUUCACAAAAACUCAUUAACAGGUCCAAAAUUAGCUCAAAAUUCGAUAUUUUGUUCAUUCUUUUUUAAAACACCAUUGUUGAAGAAAACACCUCGACUUUUAAACUCAUCAAUUUCUAUGAAUACAAUUAUACCACUUUCGACUCAACCCAUAAUCAAGUGAAUACAAGUGAAGAACCCAUCUGGGGUCGCAAAAAACAGAGCAAUUUCAUUGACCAAGACAACAACAGUACUAAGUCAAUUCAAUUGAGUUAUCAGGUUUACGCUGAUGAACUUGAUCCAAAAAGUUCAUUAUCCGAGUUUAUGGAUCAUGUUCCAAUGAAUUUAAGAAGAUGGGCUUGUUAUCCAAUGUUAUUUGGUUGAAUCAAAAGAAAUUUCAAGCAUAUAAUAUUGGAGAAAUUCCAAUGUUAAUGAAUUUAAUAAAAGAGGAAGAAGAAAAAUCAAUAGAGAACUAACAUAAAACGGAGGAGAAAGAGUCAUAAAAUGGGUCGAUAUUAUAUAUUUAGUGGGUCGGGUCAAGUGAAGCGGGUCAUUAAAUGGUUAAAUGCUAUUUUUUAUUUUUCAAUAUUUUAAUUUGUUAUAAAUAAUUAAUAUCAACAAAUUUUAAUUAAAAAAAGGGAAAGGAUCUGAUAUAUCCCUCGUUAUGAAAGUUGUUCAUAUAUGUUUAUACAUUUUAAAAGUAAUUUAUUAAUCGUGCCUACAAGAAUUAAUAUCAUUUUAUAAGUUCUGCUUAGAUAUCUUGUUUUUAGAUUUUAAUGGAAGCAUGUCUUUAGUAUCAUAUAGUACCAGACUUAAAUCGUAUAUGCGGCUCCUUAAAGUUAUCCGCAUAUUUCAUUUGAAUACCUCAAUUGUAGGUUAUGCCUUUGAACACUUCAAUUAUUUAAAAAUCAUUCCUAUUGGACAUAAAAUACUGACAUAACAUAAAAAUUAUGGUUUACUCUCUUUAAGUGCGUAAAACUAUCAAAAUAUUUUUUUUCUUUUUUUUCUAACAUAUACAACUAAAAUAAUUUUUUUUUAAAAAAUAAUUAACAAAAAUAAAAAAAUAGAAGGAUGAUUCAUCGUCUUCCCCACCCCAAUAUUCCCUUCCCUGCAACUAGUUUCAAUUUCUCAUCCACCAUUUCCAUUCGUCUUUUUACGCACAUGCUCAACACACCUCAUUCCCUGCACCCAUUUCGGCGAAUCUAUAUUUAUUUCGAUGAGAAAAAUAUGAACUAAUUUUUGGGAUAAUAGUUUGUUAUUAUAUUUUGCAACUUUGAUAAAUAAUUACUAACAGAAAGAAGAUGAACAAUGAGUAACAAAUUUGAUGCUAUCAAUAUGAAGAAAAACAAUUGGUUCUAGUAUGAAGAAACCUUACCCCAGAACACGAACCAGGUUCGUGUAAGUUGCUUUUAAGUAAAGACAGAAUAGAAACACAAACACUUAUUGAAUUAAAAACCUUCCUCACUCAAGGAAGGAAAAACCUCGUUUUAUUAAUUCAACUAUAAGAUUUUGUGAUUACAACUCAAUAAUCAAAAGUCUUAUCUCUACUACUCCCUCGAUUGACUCCAAUCGAUCUCUCCAAAAGGCCAAACCCACCUUUUGUUACAACUCUUACUAACACUCAACCCUACAAAGAGCCAAACCCACCCUUUGUACAAUAAACUGUAAAUUACAAUUAAGAACAAAAACAAGACAAAUAGUUCUUCGCGAUAAAACCUUCUAACUCAAGAACGUUUUGUACGUGGCAGUCCUAUCAAUCUUGAAGACCUCAGUUUGAUGAUUAAUUGCCUCUUGUUCUCUGCGUGAAGUGGUAGAUCUUUUCUCUGCCUCGUGUGCUUCUUAUAGAGUUUUGUCCUUGUAUAAUCCCUACUAAUAAGGUAAGAAAGUUAUGUUUAAACAAAGAUUCUUUUUUAAAUUAGAAUCCUUAUUAUACACAACUUCCUUCCUUAAUAAUAUAUUUAAGGUUUUCCUUAUUUAUAUUGACUUGUACCUUUAAUAUAUUAUUUUGACUUUGACAAAUAACUCUAUUUUCUACUUGACCUUGGACUUCUUUUGCUGCGUACAUUUUCUACUGUUCUUUGCGCUUUUUGUCUAUCAUCAAAACGAAUUAACGAUUCUAUCAUAUUCCCCCUUUUUGAUGAAGACAAACAUGUAACGUGUGAUGCAUGCGCAAAUAACUCUUCCCCCUUUUGACGAAUCAAAAAGACAUAAGCAGCGGCGAAUCAACACUAAUCAAUAUCCAUAGUAACAAAAUACGCCCAGCCAGGUGAGCAAUGUAAAUUGUUCUGGCAACAAAACAAGAAACAACAAUACAGAGUGAAAACAGCUAAGAGAACCAGGUUCAGACAACAUGCUUUAUCACUGUGGAGGCUGACCAGGCUUAGUUGAACAACAAUAGCAUUGUUAGCAAGUUGCUGCUGCACCAACUGAUCCUUCAACCUGUGUAUUUCAGCAUUUGAGGAAUCGAGCUCAGCACGUAACUUCUAAUUGUCUGAUUCAAGAGAGGCGUUCUUUUCUUCAGCUACUUUAAGCUCCCUAAGUAACUGAGCAACAGGACCAGAUGUACGUGGAGACGCUGUUGCAACCUGCUCUGACUCCAUAGGAAUGCCACAAUCAGCAAGGAUAGUUUGAGUGAACAUGUCUGCACGAGUUAAGAUCCUGCCUUCACCCAGUGGUACUUCAAAAGCAUCAAACACCCUAGUCAAUAGGUUGCCAAAGGCUAAAUGAUGGGAGCCUAACUGAGGAUCCACAAUUCUAGCAAGAUGUUUAAUAAUCAAUGUAGGCCAAUCAAUGCGCUCUUUGCACUCAAGUGCACUCAUAAGUCCCAUGUCUCGUAUGGAGGCAAUGUGACGUUGGUGACCUCUAGGCAGUAUCACCUUAUGAACUAUCUCAAAAAGAAGCUUAUGCAAAGAUCGCAUUAUUCCCUUUAAAACAGUUUGAGCCCUGUAAUUGACUCUACCUUGCGAGAAUCGAGCUGGCAGACUUGAAUACUCAUCAAAACUCCAAUUAUCUCAUUUAUACCUACAGAUGGUAUAUGCAAUAUUUCCCCAAGCUUGGUUGCAUCAAACACAAUAUCAACACCCUUUACACUAGACGACACCACAUCUCCUUCUAAGAUUACCAAAUUUGUAUAGAAAUCGACCACUUCCUUUUCAUAAAUCAAACUAGGUUCUAGAAAUAACUCCUCCCACCCUUGAAACCUUAGAAGUUCACAGACCUGCUUCACUAAAUCCAUUGACAGUAUAUCAGGAUGAAAGAUUCUACCCCUAAGCACUAAUUUGGUUUGGAAGUACUUUUUCCUUCCCACUUUUAGAAAUUUAUCUGCAUUUCUUUUCACAGAUUUUGUUUUGGAUUGAGGGGUUGCAGAAUGUUUUCCCUCAGACAGAGCAUCAGUAUCAGAAGCAAGAUCCAUUGGAGAGACUGAUGAAGGGACAGGGGACUUACCCAAACGUCGAUGCUUCACCCCAGAUGUUGUAUCAGCAGCUAGCUUGACCGCAUGCGCACUCCUUGUUACUGGCCUGUGUGGACGAGCUUGUUUGACGACAAUAUGCUUUCUUGGCCGCCGUGGUUUUGUAGGGUGAAGGGAACUCAAAAGAAUAUCAUCAUGGGUGUGAGAAGGUGAUGGGUUUUGAGGAGUGGUUUGGUGAGAUGGUGAAGAAGGGGGGAUGGUUGGGACAGUGGUUGUGGGAGAUGUUGGGUUUGGUGAAAGUAGGGUUUCGUGAGCUGGUGAUGCUGGAGUUUCUUGGACUGGUGAUGGGGAAGAUGCGAUGAUGGGUGGUGAUGGGGAGUUAGUAACGACAGGUAACGAUGCUCCUUUAACUGGUGAUAAUGAGGGGGUUACUUGUGGUGGUGGAAAUGUAGCUUUUGGUGGUGGAGAUGGAGUUUUUGGUGGUGGUGAUGGAGCUUUUGGUGGUGGUGAUAAAGAUGUGGUUGGGAGUUGGGUUUCGUCCCCAAGAUCGGGCACACCAUCAACAACUUGGUUUUCUUCCCCCUGAAGAGAUGCACUAUCAGACGAGCUGCCGUCAUCGGAGUAAGCAACAAGUAGAUUAGUCAUGGUUAUGGAAGGGAUUGUGGUUUCUUGGUUUUUUGGAGAUUGAAGAUGAGAGAGGGAAGGUUGCUAGUUUAGAGAGAGUGCUUUAUUGGGGGUGGGUUUAGUGUGGUAAUCAAGGGAUUGGAGUAAUGAUGGGGGAUUGACAUCGAGGGGACGUGCACCGUGACGGUUGCACCUGCUUGUCAGGGGGCAUGGGAGAGAGAAGAUGAAAUUGAUUUCCCUUUUUUUUUAAAUAUAUAAUUUUUUUUUAAAAUAAAGAUUAUGUGGAACCAUCUUGACAGAACCUGGUUUAUACCUCAGUAGAACUUGGUUGGGCAUGGUUCAUUCCAAGAAGAUGAGCCCUAACUCAAGUCUAUUUUUCUUAAAUAACUCUCUUCCUAGUGCCUUGGUGAAGAUGUCCGCAACUUGAUUCUCAGUUUUGCAGAACUCCAUAAUUAUGUUUCCUUUUUCAACAUUAUCACGAAGAAAGUGAUGUCUAACAUCUAUGUGUUUGGUGCGCUUGUGUUGAACUGGAUUUUUGGCCAUUGUUAUAGCACUUGUGUUAUCACAUAGAAUAGGAAUACAAUCUGUUUCUAUGCCAAAGUCUUUAAGCUGCUGUUUUAUCCAAAGAAGUUGGGCACAACAAGAAGCAGUUGCAACAUACUCAGCCUCUGCAGUAGAUAGAGCCACGGAAUUUUGUUUUCUUGUUGCCCAGGAUAUCAAACAUGGUCCUAAGAAGUGUGCCAUCCCAGAAGUACUUUUUCUAUCAACCAUGUGUCCUGCAUAAUCAGCGUCAGCAAAUCCCUUUAGAUCAAAAGAAUCACCAGUUGGAUACCAUAGAACCAGGUUUAUUGUACCUUUCAAAUAUCUCAGGAUUCUCUUGACAGCUUUUAGAUGUGAUUCCUUUAGACACGACUGAAAUCUUGCACAUAGACCAACACUAAACACUAUAUCAGGUCUGCUGGCAGUGAGAUAUAGGCGUGAUCCAAUCAUACCUCUAUAUCUAGUGUCAUUGACUGGUGAACCUGAUUCAUUUUUAUCGAGCUUUGUUGUUGUCCCAAUGGGAGUAUCAUUAGUCUUCGCUUCAUUCAUAUCAUACUUCUUCAGUAAUUCCUUGAUGUACUUUUGCUGAUGAAUUGAUGUUCCAACUGGAGUUUGCUUAAUUUGGAGUCCCAAGAAGAAAUUCAAUUCUCCCAUCAUACUCAUCUCGAACUCACUAUUCAUUAGUUGAGCAAAUUCUACUCCUAGUGAGUCAUUGGUUCCUCCAAAUAUAAUGUCAUCUACAUAUACUUGGACUAUGAACAGAUCUUUACCUUGUUUUCGAAGAAACAGUGUAUUGUCAAUCUUUCCUCUUGUAUAUCCAUGUGUGAGAAGGAAGGUAGACAAUCGAUUAUACCAUGCUCUUGGUGCUUGUUUCAACCCAUAGAGUGCUUCCAGUUUGUAUACAUGAUCAGGAUAUCUGGUGUUUUCGAAACCUGGAGGUUGUUUUACAUACACCUCUUCUUGUAGGUAACCAUUUAAAAAGGCACUUUUGACAUCCAUUUGGUAGAGUUUAAACUCCAUGUGAGCAGCAUAUGCAACCAGUAUUCUAAUUGCCUCAAUUCUUGCUACUGGUGCGAAGGUUUCAUCAUAAUCUAUACCUUCUUCUUGGUUGUAUCCCUGUACAACUAGUCUAGCUUUGUUGCGCACUAUUUGACCUUGCUCAUCGAGCUUGUUUCUAAACACCCACCUAGUUCCUAUUACUGUUCUGUUUUGGGGCUUUGGAACCAGGUUCCACACUCUGCUUCUUUCAAAUUGGUUGAGUUCUUCUUGCAUAGCACCAAUCCAUUCAGAGUCCAGCAAUGCUUCCUUUGUAUUUUUAGGCUUAAUCAGGGACACAUAGGCAGAGAAUGCACACAUACUACGUAGUUUGGAUCUUGUAGAUAUCCCUGAGUUAAGAGGAGUGAGAAGAUUUUGCAGAGAGUGAGAGCUUUGAUGUUUCCAAUUAUGAGUAGGAAUACUUACUACUUCUUGAGGUGCAGAUGAACCAGUUUCAUUAGCAGACUUAUCUCCUAUUUCAGAUGUUUUGUCAGAUGGUAUGGGUUCUUUUUCCCGUGUUUUUGGGUCUGACGGCUUGGAGCAGGUUCCCUCAUCUUGUUCAUCCUCUGAAUUUCCUUCAACUUCACUAGUAUGUUCAUUAAAGACAACAUGGACACUUUCUUCUACACAAUUUGUUCUUUUAUUCAGUACCUUGUAGGCCUUGCUUUGUGAUGAGUACCCCAGAAAGAUUCCUUCAUCACUCUUGGCAUCGAAUUUUCCCAAAUUGUCUUUGUCAUUGUUGUGUAUAAAACAUACACAUCCAAAGGCCCUAAGAUGUGCUAGAUUUGGUUUUCUUCCUUUUAGUAGCUCAUAUGGUGUUUUGUUUAACACUGAUCUGAUCAUACAUCUAUUUAUUAGAUAACAUCCUGUAUUUACUGCUUCAGCCCAAUAGAAUUUUGGGAGCUUGCUUGAGAUUAACAUUGUUCUUGCAAUAUCUUCCAGUGUUCUAUUUUUCCUCUCAACAACACCAUUUUGUUGUGGUGUUCUAGGUGUUGAGAAGUUAUGCUCAAUCCCAUUUGUAGUACAAAAUUGUAGGAAUUGUGAGUUCUCAAACUCCAGUCCAUGAUCAGAUCUGAUGCUGAUGAUUUCUUUGUUGAAUUUCUUCUGAACCAGCUUUGCAAAAGCUUCAAACAUAGUGAAUGUCUCGUCCUUUGUUGUAAGAAACAAUGUCCAAGUGAAUCUUGAGUAGUCAUCAACUAUUACAAACACAUAUCUUUUUCCACCCCUGCUUUGUACACGCAUUGGUCUAGACAAAUCCAUGUGAAGCAAUUCCAGUGGCUUAGUAGUACUUACUGUCAACUUUGGUUUGAAGGAUGACCUAACCUGUUUUCCUUGAAUACAGGUUCCACAUACUUGGUUGUCCUUGAAACUUUUGGUUGGCAGUCCCUUAACCGGGUCUUUAGAUAUGAGUUUGUUUAUAGUUGUCAUGCUAAUGUGUCCCAUUCUUUUGUGUCAUAGCAUGGAGCAAUCUGAGACUGCACUCAGACAUUUAAGAUUAUCUUCCUUGGAGUCACCAGUCUUGACUUUGUACACAUUCUUGUGUCUCUUUCCUAGUAGAACCAGAUUUCCAGUCACUGAGUUUGUUACUCUACAUUCUUUUUCUAUAAAGAGAACGUUGUUUCCUUUGUCACAUAUUUGCGAUACGCUCAAAAGAUUAUGUUGUAGACCAUUUACAUAAUAUACAUUCUCAAUUGCAUAAGUAUCCAUUGUUCCAACCUUUCCAAUUCCUUGAAUUUCUCCAUUUUUACCAUUUCCAAAGGCAACAUUUCCUCCUUUGAUGUUCUUGAGUGAGAGGAAGCUUCUUUUAUCUCCAGUCCUAUGUCUUGAGCAUGCAUUAUCCAAGUACCAUUGUUGCUGCUUCCUCUUCACUGAUCCCUGCAAUUUAUUGUUGGAUUUUAGAUUUUGGUACCCAAAUCCACUUUGAUUUAAGCUUAGGGAAUGGGUGAAUAAGAUUUCUUCUGGCCCAUCUAGGAAGAGACUUGUCUAUAAAGAUUUGUUUUUGCUCAUUGGGUUUAUCAUGAUGAGGUUUUCUCAAGGAUUUCAAGUUUUUGUUAUGGGCAGUUUGUUUCUUUUGACAAUCAUGACUUUUAUGUCCUACCAGUCCACAGUGCAUGCAUAAACAGUCUAUGUUGGGAAUUUUUACUUGAGAGCUGGUUCUAUCAAAACCUAUCCCAUGUUUCUCAAAUGUGCGAUUCUUGUGAAUGUUGUCAAGCAGUAUGGAGGACCUGGUCCAUCUCAUUCCAUUUUCUGCUUCAGUUUUAGUCACAAGAAGCUCUUUGGAGAGUGUUUCAUUCCUUUUAAUUACCAGUUCUAGAUUUUUACUUAGUUUGGUAUUCUUGGAUAAAAGAUGGAGAUUCUGUUUUUCAAGACUCUUGUUUUCUUCUCUUAGUGAUGCAUAGUCUUCCAUUAUCAGUUCCUUUUUUGAGUCUAUGGUUUUAUAUUCAUCAAUGAGAGUGUAGAGUAAGGAUUCUAGCUCUCUUUUUGAGUAUGAACCUAGAUUUUCUUGUAAGUUAUGAAGAAUGACCUUUUCAUUUAUGUCUUCUUCUUCUUCUUCUUUUUCAGAAUCUGAUCCAGCCAUAAGUGCUAGUAUGGUUUCUUGUGAUCUGCCAGUUUCCCUUUCUUCCUUGUUUUCCACUGCUACAAGUGCAAGAAAGUCAUAAUCAUCUUCUUGUUCUAGUGCAAGAAGAGACUGAUUUUCUAUCUCAUCAUCCUCAAACUCUUCAUCAGAUGAAUUCUCCAUUGCUGCAAAAGCCCUCUUCAUUGACAUGUCUGCCUCUUGAAUUGUCAUUCUUCUGUUUGAGGGGACAAACUUAUCCUUUUUGAUAUCUUUCCCUUUCUCAUAGUUUACCUUUUUUUGUUCUACGGCCCAGGGUGGACAGAAUUUGAUGAAGUGAUCUGGGCUCCCACACUUAUGACAAACCUGGUCUUUAGUGUUUUCAGAUUGUUUUUAAAAAGCUUUCUUUUGAAAGGGUUGCCCUCUCUUUAGCAUUCUGGUGAACCUUUUGGUUAUGAGGGCAAUGUUUUCAUCUUCAAAAUCAUCUGAUGCAGUAGCCUUUAGAACCAGGUUCCUUUCCUUUCUUUUUCCUCCAAUUUCUUUUUCUUGGUUUUUCUUAAGUUCGUAAAUAAUGACAUUACCAAUUAACUCAUCCAUUCCCAGUGAGUCUAGGUCGCGGGCUUCAGUGAUAGCCUCGACUUUGCUUUCCCAGGUUUCAGGAAGGAUACUCAAGAGUUUCCUUACUGCUUUUCCAUUAGGCACUAUCUCUCCUAAAGAGUACAUUUUAUUGAUGAUGGAGGUGAACCUGGUGUGCAUAUCUUGAAUAGUCUCUCCUUCUGCCAUCCUGAACAGCUCAUAUUGCCUGUUCAAGUUACCAAUCUUGGACUUCUUGACUUGUGUUGUUCCCUCAUGAGCUAUCUGCAGUGUUUCCCAUAUGGCUUUGGCAUCUUGACAUGACGAAAUUCGAUUGUAUUCGUCUGGUCCUAUGCCACAUAUCAGAAUUUUCUUAGCUUUGGCAUUGUUUUGAAUUGCAAGCUUGUCUUCAACAUUCCAUUCCUUUCUUUCCUUUGGGAUUUUGGUGAUUCCAUCAGUUGCUGUUUUCAUAGGUAUGGUUGGGCCAUCUAGAAUUACUCUCCACAGAUCAGGGUUUUCGCCAAUAAGAUGGUCCAUCAUACGAUUUUUCCACCAUCCAUAAUAUUUGCCAUUAAACAGUGGUGGUCGUGUUUGUGAAGCUCCUUCUUGUGGGGUAGGUGGUGCUGCCAUUGAAUCUUUUCAAGGUGUGAAUCUUUUAACGAAAAGACCCGCUCUGAUACCAAUUGAAGAAACCUUACCCCAGAACACGAACCAGGUUCGUGUAAGUUGCUUUUAAGUAAAGACAGAAUAGAAACACAAACACUUAUUGAAUUAAAAACCUUCCUCACUCAAGAACGUUUUUUACGUGGCAGUCCUAUCAAUCUUGAAGACCUCAGUUUGAUGAUUAAUUGCCUCUUGUUCUCUGCGUGAAGUGGUAGAUCUUUUCUCUGCCUCGUGUGCUUCUUAUUGAGUUUUGUCCUUGUAUAAUCCCUACUAAUAAGGUAAGAAAGUUAUGUUUAAACAAGGAUUCUUUUUUAAAUUAGAAUCCUUAUUAUACACUACUUCCUUCCUUAAUAAUAUAUUUAAGGUUUUCCUUAUUUAUAUUGACUUGUACCUUUAAUAUAUUAUUUUGACUUUGACAAAUAACUCUAUCUUCUACUUGACCUUGGACUUCUUUUGCUGCGUACAUUUUCUACUGUUCUUUGUGUUUUUUGUCUAUCAUCACAACGAAUUAACGAUUCUAUCAUAGUAUUAGAGAACUUCUAACUUUCAUUAUUUCAUUAGCACUUGAACUAUUCAAUAGAGAAUCUAAAGUUUUUCAAGGUUCUCUUUUGCGAACUGUGUGUCGCUUUUGCGACAUGUGAGAUCCCUUCUGACCUGCCGUUUCGUUAGACAUUUAGACUUGCUUCAGUGUGUUUAAAUGUUCUAGUUUUUGUUAGGUCGUAGAAAUGACACUCCCACCAGAGGGUUAGUGUGGAUGUCAAUCACGAACAGUCUGAAUCGUGCCACACAUUUAAUUUUAGAGAAUUGUGUCAAAAGUUUUUUAUAUAUUUGAAACUUCAUGUCUAAUCAAAUUAAAAAAUAUAAAAUAAAAUAAGUGAAAUAUAUUUAGGCUUUUUUUUUAAAGAAUUAACUUUAGGCCACAUAUUUUGUUGAGUCGCCCCAGACUUGUAGUUGGUUUGUAGAAAUGUCAAUGAUCACGGGAAUAGUUAAUACUCUAAAAGCAUAUUAAAUUUCCAAUAACUAUAUUAUAGAGCAUGAAUGCAUGCAAACUAUUGGAUGGAGCUCCUUUCUAAUUUUAGUCAAAUUCUUAUUUAAAUUGAAUACAUGUAAUAUAAAUUAAAAUUAAUGGUAAUAUAAUUAAAUUAGGGGCACAUUGGAGGUGAGUGGAGUCCAAUAUUAAUUUUUGUUUCUUAAACCAGGUUCGUUAUUCGUAUUAAAGUUUGUCUAUUUUAAACUCAUAUCACGUAGAAUCCUAUUAAGAGGGAAGGGUCUUGUAUCAAGAAUUUUUCCAUACUCAGAGCUCAAACUCGAGAUCCAUUUCCGGUCCUUUGGUGGUGGCUAAUACUAAUUAUACUACUACAGUAGUACUACUUAAUGCUUCCUUAACAUUUUCAACGUGUAACUAUUCAUGCAUUACCAAUUAAUCAAGAUGAGCAGACAAUAAUUGACUAAGUUCAUAUAUGCUACUAAUCUAAUAUUUAAGUUGAAGUAAUAAUAUCUAAAAAUAGUUUCAAGUGCAACAGUAGUAGAAUUUAGUAUAAAUAGCCAUGGUUAGAUGCACAUCAUCAUCAUAAGAAAUAUAAACUGCUUGAUUAAUAUUCUCUAGAUUUGAAUAUGGCUUCCAAAACAAUUGCAAGUCAGUCUUCAGUAACCCUUUUCCUAUCACUGAAUCUCCUGUUGUUUGCUGUUGUAAGUGGAACCAAUGAUACUGGAAAUUGCGUUGGUUCUCAACAAACAUGCUCAAUAGAUACUUUGAAACUUGGUGUGUGUGCUAAUAUACUUAAUUUGGUGAAUGUAAUAGUCGGGUCUCCACCAACUUUGCCAUGCUGCAGUUUGAUCCAGGGACUGACGGACCUAGAGGCCGCGGUUUGCUUGUGCACAGCCAUAAAAGCAAAUGUGCUGGGAAUUAAUUUGAAUGUACCACUCUCUCUGAGCCUCAUACUAAACACAUGUGGAAAGAAAUAUCCUACUGGCUUCACUUGUUAAACUACGUAUCCUCCACUCUGCCUCAUUAAUUUCCAAGGGGUUAAUAAAUAAAUAAAUAAAUGUAUCGUCGUGCUUAUGAAAUUAUUAUGCACGUACGAACCUUUUUAAAAAAAAAUUUAAAUAAGUGAACUUUGCAUAUGCAAGUUCUCAUCUUCCUAUGUUACAUUAAUAAUACUAUCAAAUUAAUAAAUAAAACUACUCUUUAUCACCUCUCCAUGCUCUUCGUAUAUUCGUACUAUAAUAUUAUAAACUCUACUUUUUGAAGAAGCCAUAGCUAGGGGAAAUCUGCAUAGAUAUCACUUAAUAAUCAUUUAUCAUGUGUAAUACUUGCUUACAAAUGCCCUACUAUUAUUUAAUUGACACGUGCUAACAUAAAUUGCCUAUUAUUAUUUAGCUUAUUUAUAGCAACCAUGUAUUUCUAAUGAUUUUUCUUUUAUGAAUCUUAUACAUAAGUUAAUUUAAUUAAUUAUCUACAUACCUUAUAUUAAAGCAGCAUCUUCAAAAGUAUGUUAGUCGACUUGUAUAAUAGCAUCUCGCACCUUACAAAUUUUGCUUAUAGGAAUUUUUUUUUGCAUAAAACAUGUAGUAUACAUAGCAUGCCUAUAGGGAAAAUUUACAAUGCAUUUUCUGUCUGUUUAGUAAUCAUGCCUAUAUGGCCAUUUAAUUAAAUUGAAUUCGUUUUCAUAUGAUCGACAAUAUACAUUAAGACAGUCCCAAUAAUCUUUUGGUUUAUCCCAUUAUGUGUUUAUGCAUUUUAAAAGUAAUUUAUUAAUCACGCCUACAAGAAUUAAUAUCAUUUAAGCUCUCCUUAGAUAUCUUGUUUUUAGAUUUUAAUGGCUAACAUGUCUUUAGUAUUGUAUAGCAACAGACUUAAGUCAUACGUGUUUCCUUAAAGUUAUUUGCAUAUUUUAUUUAAAUAACUCAAUUAUAGGUUAUGCCUAUUGAACAUCUCAAUUGUUCAAAAGUCAUUCCUAUUGGACACAAAAUAGUGACAUCACAAAAAAACGUGUGGUUCGCUACUAUCAAAAUAUAUUUUUUUUAACUUAUACCACUAAACUAAAUUUUUUUAAAAAUAAUAAUUAACAAAAAUAAAAGAAGAAGGAAGAGUCAUCGUCUUCCCCACCCCAAUAUUUCCUUCCCUGCAACUUUUUUCAAUUUCUCAUCCUCCAUUUUCAUCCUCUGUUUUACAUACAUGCUCAACCCUCCCCAUUCUCUGCACCCCAUUUCGGUGAAUCUAUAUUUAUUUCAAUGAGAAAAAUAUGAAUUAAUUUUUCAGCUAAAAGUUUGUUAUUAUAUUUUGCAAUUUUGAUAAAUAAUUACUAAUGGUAAGAAGAUGAAGACGAUGAGUAACAGAUUUGAUGCUAUCAAUAUGAAGAAAACUAAUAUUCCCUCCGUUUCAAAAAGGAUGAUUUAGUUUGACUUGGAGUUUAAAAAAAGAAAGAAAACUUUUUAAUCUUGUGGUUCUAAAUUAAAGUUAUGUCAAAUAUACCAAAAUGUCCUUUAAUCUUGUGGUCUUAAACAUGUCACGUGGAAAGUUAAAGUUAAAGUGUUGCAUAAAAGGAAAGGAGUCAUUCUUUAGAAACAAACUAAAAAAUAAAUAGACAUUUUUUUUUGAAACGGAGAGAGUAAGUUCAAGUAUUAGCUAAUUUCUAACUUUCAUUAUUUCACUAGCACUUGAACUAUUCAAUAGAGAAUCCAAAUUGCAUCUUUACAUAGAAAUCAUAACGGAUAAAACUGAAUGAAGGAGAAGAAAGAGGUAGGGAGAUGAUUUGCUUGAGUUAAUACUAUGGUCACUAAAUUAUGUGUUCAAGUUUCAAUUUUACUUCAAAAGUCACUUAACUAUGCACAUUUCUCUCAUAAAGUCACUCAACUUUUAGUUUUAAUUCAAAAGUCACUCAACUAUUCACUCUUCUCUCAAAAAGUCACUCAAUUUAUUUAAUUAUUUUUAAUUAAAAUUUAUUUAUAACAAAUCAAAAUUUUAAAAAAUAAACAAUACCAUUUAAACAAUGCAAUGACCCGUUCUACUUGACCCGACCCACUAAAAUAUAAUAUUGACCCAUUUUAUGACUAUUUCUCCUCGGCGUUUUUUUUUCUUUCUAAAAGAGGAAGAAGAAAAAUUAUUUGAACAACAUUUAUUUCAAGGAAUGGGUACUCUGUUCAGAGAAGGAACAAGAUUCAUGACUGAUUUAAAUGUAAUUCAUGUAAUUGAAUCUAUAUGUUCAGGAACUGAAAUCAUUCACAAAAACUCAUUAACAGGUCCAAAAUUAGCUCAAAAUUCGAUAUUUUGUUCAUUCUUUUUUAAAACACCAUUGUUGAAGAAAACACCUCGACUUUUAAACUCAUCAAUUUCUAUGAAUACAAUUAUACCACUUUCGACUCAACCCAUAAUCAAGUGAAUACAAGUGAAGAACCCAUCUGGGGUCGCAAAAAACAGAGCAAUUUCAUUGACCAAGACAACAACAGUACUAAGUCAAUUCAAUUGAGUUAUCAGGUUUACGCUGAUGAACUUGAUCCAAAAAGUUCAUUAUCCGAGUUUAUGGAUCAUGUUCCAAUGAAUUUAAGAAGAUGGGCUUGUUAUCCAAUGUUAUUUGGUUGAAUCAAAAGAAAUUUCAAGCAUAUAAUAUUGGAGAAAUUCCAAUGUUAAUGAAUUUAAUAAAAGAGGAAGAAGAAAAAUCAAUAGAGAACUAACAUAAAACGGAGGAGAAAGAGUCAUAAAAUGGGUCGAUAUUAUAUAUUUAGUGGGUCGGGUCAAGUGAAGCGGGUCAUUAAAUGGUUAAAUGCUAUUUUUUAUUUUUCAAUAUUUUAAUUUGUUAUAAAUAAUUAAUAUCAACAAAUUUUAAUUAAAAAAAGGGAAAGGAUCUGAUAUAUCCCUCGUUAUGAAAGUUGUUCAUAUAUGUUUAUACAUUUUAAAAGUAAUUUAUUAAUCGUGCCUACAAGAAUUAAUAUCAUUUUAUAAGUUCUGCUUAGAUAUCUUGUUUUUAGAUUUUAAUGGAAGCAUGUCUUUAGUAUCAUAUAGUACCAGACUUAAAUCGUAUAUGCGGCUCCUUAAAGUUAUCCGCAUAUUUCAUUUGAAUACCUCAAUUGUAGGUUAUGCCUUUGAACACUUCAAUUAUUUAAAAAUCAUUCCUAUUGGACAUAAAAUACUGACAUAACAUAAAAAUUAUGGUUUACUCUCUUUAAGUGCGUAAAACUAUCAAAAUAUUUUUUUUCUUUUUUUUCUAACAUAUACAACUAAAAUAAUUUUUUUUUAAAAAAUAAUUAACAAAAAUAAAAAAAUAGAAGGAUGAUUCAUCGUCUUCCCCACCCCAAUAUUCCCUUCCCUGCAACUAGUUUCAAUUUCUCAUCCACCAUUUCCAUUCGUCUUUUUACGCACAUGCUCAACACACCUCAUUCCCUGCACCCAUUUCGGCGAAUCUAUAUUUAUUUCGAUGAGAAAAAUAUGAACUAAUUUUUGGGAUAAUAGUUUGUUAUUAUAUUUUGCAACUUUGAUAAAUAAUUACUAACAGAAAGAAGAUGAACAAUGAGUAACAAAUUUGAUGCUAUCAAUAUGAAGAAAAACAAUUGGUUCUAGUAUGAAGAAACCUUACCCCAGAACACGAACCAGGUUCGUGUAAGUUGCUUUUAAGUAAAGACAGAAUAGAAACACAAACACUUAUUGAAUUAAAAACCUUCCUCACUCAAGGAAGGAAAAACCUCGUUUUAUUAAUUCAACUAUAAGAUUUUGUGAUUACAACUCAAUAAUCAAAAGUCUUAUCUCUACUACUCCCUCGAUUGACUCCAAUCGAUCUCUCCAAAAGGCCAAACCCACCUUUUGUUACAACUCUUACUAACACUCAACCCUACAAAGAGCCAAACCCACCCUUUGUACAAUAAACUGUAAAUUACAAUUAAGAACAAAAACAAGACAAAUAGUUCUUCGCGAUAAAACCUUCUAACUCAAGAACGUUUUGUACGUGGCAGUCCUAUCAAUCUUGAAGACCUCAGUUUGAUGAUUAAUUGCCUCUUGUUCUCUGCGUGAAGUGGUAGAUCUUUUCUCUGCCUCGUGUGCUUCUUAUAGAGUUUUGUCCUUGUAUAAUCCCUACUAAUAAGGUAAGAAAGUUAUGUUUAAACAAAGAUUCUUUUUUAAAUUAGAAUCCUUAUUAUACACAACUUCCUUCCUUAAUAAUAUAUUUAAGGUUUUCCUUAUUUAUAUUGACUUGUACCUUUAAUAUAUUAUUUUGACUUUGACAAAUAACUCUAUUUUCUACUUGACCUUGGACUUCUUUUGCUGCGUACAUUUUCUACUGUUCUUUGCGCUUUUUGUCUAUCAUCAAAACGAAUUAACGAUUCUAUCAUAUUCCCCCUUUUUGAUGAAGACAAACAUGUAACGUGUGAUGCAUGCGCAAAUAACUCUUCCCCCUUUUGACGAAUCAAAAAGACAUAAGCAGCGGCGAAUCAACACUAAUCAAUAUCCAUAGUAACAAAAUACGCCCAGCCAGGUGAGCAAUGUAAAUUGUUCUGGCAACAAAACAAGAAACAACAAUACAGAGUGAAAACAGCUAAGAGAACCAGGUUCAGACAACAUGCUUUAUCACUGUGGAGGCUGACCAGGCUUAGUUGAACAACAAUAGCAUUGUUAGCAAGUUGCUGCUGCACCAACUGAUCCUUCAACCUGUGUAUUUCAGCAUUUGAGGAAUCGAGCUCAGCACGUAACUUCUAAUUGUCUGAUUCAAGAGAGGCGUUCUUUUCUUCAGCUACUUUAAGCUCCCUAAGUAACUGAGCAACAGGACCAGAUGUACGUGGAGACGCUGUUGCAACCUGCUCUGACUCCAUAGGAAUGCCACAAUCAGCAAGGAUAGUUUGAGUGAACAUGUCUGCACGAGUUAAGAUCCUGCCUUCACCCAGUGGUACUUCAAAAGCAUCAAACACCCUAGUCAAUAGGUUGCCAAAGGCUAAAUGAUGGGAGCCUAACUGAGGAUCCACAAUUCUAGCAAGAUGUUUAAUAAUCAAUGUAGGCCAAUCAAUGCGCUCUUUGCACUCAAGUGCACUCAUAAGUCCCAUGUCUCGUAUGGAGGCAAUGUGACGUUGGUGACCUCUAGGCAGUAUCACCUUAUGAACUAUCUCAAAAAGAAGCUUAUGCAAAGAUCGCAUUAUUCCCUUUAAAACAGUUUGAGCCCUGUAAUUGACUCUACCUUGCGAGAAUCGAGCUGGCAGACUUGAAUACUCAUCAAAACUCCAAUUAUCUCAUUUAUACCUACAGAUGGUAUAUGCAAUAUUUCCCCAAGCUUGGUUGCAUCAAACACAAUAUCAACACCCUUUACACUAGACGACACCACAUCUCCUUCUAAGAUUACCAAAUUUGUAUAGAAAUCGACCACUUCCUUUUCAUAAAUCAAACUAGGUUCUAGAAAUAACUCCUCCCACCCUUGAAACCUUAGAAGUUCACAGACCUGCUUCACUAAAUCCAUUGACAGUAUAUCAGGAUGAAAGAUUCUACCCCUAAGCACUAAUUUGGUUUGGAAGUACUUUUUCCUUCCCACUUUUAGAAAUUUAUCUGCAUUUCUUUUCACAGAUUUUGUUUUGGAUUGAGGGGUUGCAGAAUGUUUUCCCUCAGACAGAGCAUCAGUAUCAGAAGCAAGAUCCAUUGGAGAGACUGAUGAAGGGACAGGGGACUUACCCAAACGUCGAUGCUUCACCCCAGAUGUUGUAGUUGGUUUGUAGAAAUGUCAAUGAUCACGGGAAUAGUUAAUACUCUAAAAGCAUAUUAAAUUUCCAAUAACUAUAUUAUAGAGCAUGAAUGCAUGCAAACUAUUGGAUGGAGCUCCUUUCUAAUUUUAGUCAAAUUCUUAUUUAAAUUGAAUACAUGUAAUAUAAAUUAAAAUUAAUGGUAAUAUAAUUAAAUUAGGGGCACAUUGGAGAUGAGUGGAGUCCAAUAUUAAUUUUUGUUUCUUAAACCAGGUUCGUUAUUCGUAUUAAAGUUUGUCUAUUUUAAACUCAUAUCACGUAGAAUCCUAUUAAGAGGGAAGGGUCUUGUAUCAAGAAUUUUUCCAUACUCAGAGCUCAAACUCGAGAUCCAUUUCCGGUCCUUUGGUGGUGGCUAAUACUAAUUAUACUACUACAGUAGUACUACUUAAUGCUUCCUUAACAUUUUCAACGUGUAACUAUUCAUGCAUUACCAAUUAAUCAAGAUGAGCAGACAAUAAUUGACUAAGUUCAUAUAUGCUACUAAUCUAAUAUUUAAGUUGAAGUAAUAAUAUCUAAAAAUGGUUUCAAGUGCAACAGUAGUAGAAUUUAGUAUAAAUAGCCAUGGUUAGAUGCACAUCAUCAUCAUAAGAAAUAUAAACUGCUUGAUUAAUAUUCUCUAGAUUUGAAUAUGGCUUCCAAAACAAUUGCAAGUCAGUCUUCAGUACCCCUUUUCCUAUCACUGAAUCUCCUGUUGUUUGCUGUUGUAAGUGGAACCAAUGAUACUGGAAAUUGCGUUGGUUCUCAACAAACAUGCUCAAUAGAUACUUUGAAACUUGGUGUGUGUGCUAAUAUACUUAAUUUGGUGAAUGUAAUAGUCGGGUCUCCACCAACUUUGCCAUGCUGCAGUUUGAUCCAGGGACUGACGGACCUAGAGGCCGCGGUUUGCUUGUGCACAGCCAUAAAAGCAAAUGUGCUGGGAAUUAAUUUGAAUGUACCACUCUCUCUGAGCCUCAUACUAAACACAUGUGGAAAGAAAUAUCCUACUGGCUUCACUUGUUAAACUACGUACCCUCUACUUUGCCUCAUUAAUUUCCAAGGGGUUAAUAAAUAAAUAAAUAAAUGUAUCGUCGUGCUUAUGAAAUUAUUAUGCACGUACAAACCUUUUUUAAAAAAAAUUUAAAUAAGUGAACUUUGCAUAUGCAAGUUCUCAUCUUCCUAUGUUACAUUAAUAAUACUAUCAAAUUAAUAAAUAAAACUACUCUUCAUUACCUCUCCAUGCUCUUAGUAUAUUCGUACUAUAAUAUUAUAAACUCUACUUUUGAAGAAGCCAUAGCUAGGGGAAAUCUGCAUAGAUAUCAGUUAAUAAUCAUUAAUCAUGUGUAAUACUUGCUUAAUUUUCAAAUGCCCUACUAUUAUUUAAUUAACACGUACUAACAUAAAUUGCCUAUUAUUAUUUAGCUUAUUUAUAGCAACCAUACAUUUCUAAUGAUUUUUCUUUUAUGAAUCUUAUAUAUACGUUAAUUUAAUUAAUUAGCUACAUACCUUGUAUUAAAGCAGCGGCUAUUAUAUCUUCAAAAGCAUGUUAAUUAAUUUGUAUAUUAAUAGCAUUUCUCACCUCAGAAAUUUUGGUUAUAGGAAUUUUGUUGCAUAAAAUGUGUAGUAUAGAUAUCAUGUCUAUAAGGAAAAUCUACAGUGGACUAUUAUGAUAUAAUAUAUUUGUUAUAAUGCUUUUUCUGUCUGUUUAGACAUCAUGACUAUAUUAGGGUCAUUCAAAUAAAUAAAUCAUCAAAGACAUUCCCACAACUAUUUACAUGUUGUUUAAUUAAGUUGUGCAUGACUUUAAUAACAUUGAUUUUAUUUUUAUAAUUAAUUUAAGUUUUGAGAAAAAGUAUAUUUAAUUAUAAAAUGUAAUAAUACCUUAUCAAUAUAAUUACAGUAAAAUAAUAAGAGAAGUAAUUGUUUAUGCUUCAUUUUUUUGUUUAAUUUUAAUGCUCUAAUUUACUUCAAAUAUAUGCAUUUUCUUUUAAUUUAUGAAGUUGGUGUUGUAUUUCGUUAUAUUGUAAUUACAAUAAGCGGAAUACUAUUCACUUUUGAAUGUAAUAUUAUGUUAAAAAUGAGUUACAAAAUAAGCUAUAAGUGGUUUUUCAAAUUUGAAACAAAAAUUCAAAUUAAACUUGAAUUAUUGACGGCCAAACAUUUUUUUUCUAUGUAAUUAAAAAAGAACAUGAAGUUGCUACAACAAAUUUUCUUUGUCGUUAGUAUUUUUGGUGAUAGAAUUUCAUCGUUGAAAAAUAAUAGAAAGCUAUCAAAUACGACCUUCAUUAUCUUUUAUUUUUUCGCUAUACAAAAAGUAUUUUCUUUCUUUUAGUUCUUAUCAAGAGAUUUUUUCUUUCAUGUUUUACUCUUUACAUUAAAAUUACUUAUUCUCAAAUUGUCUGUCAAAGUUUAAAAUAAAUACAUGAGAAAAAUAAAGCAACAAUGCAUAUCACAUUUUAACGUUAUAUAAUAAAUAAAAUAAAAUUUAAAUAUAAUUAAAAUAUAUACUAACAACGUAUAACUAUAAAAAAUAAUAAUAAUACUAUCAACAUAAUAUAGACAAAAUACACACCAGGGUACCAACCAUCUUACCAAGCUGUAAGACUAAUGGAAUGUAAUUGGUGAAUUUUCAAUGUAUAAAAUCUUUUCAAAUUCAAUGAUAUUAAAUUCUCAAGAAGUCUAGAUGCUUGACUAUGCUUUUCUAUAAUCAAAUUAUAGUUAAAAAACAUUGAAUUUAUGUUAUGUCCCAUCUCUUACUACACAUAGGUGAGCAGGGUGAACUUAGUGGCGGUAAUGUGUUCAUUCGAAGUUAUCGAUAUAAAAGAUAAAUUUCUAUAUAUUUUGAAUUUCUUAAACACAAAACUAGAAAUUGAUUAAGUAGUUUAGAAGUUCAAACUCUAAUUUUAAAUUCCAAACACUUUAUUCUACAAAAUAUUCCCAUACCUUUUAACUUGAGACAAAGCCAUAGAGUUGCAUUCAAAAUUGAUCCAUAUUUACGGUAUGAGGCGUAGAUUUUUGAAAAUUUAUAUUGAAAAUUAAAUUGAAGUAAGGCAAAUCUAUCUAUGAUAGUGACAGUUAAUAACUCUGAAAAGAAUUUGAUCGUUACCACCAAGCCAUUAGAAAAGAGUUAUUAGUUGUAGUUUCAAAAUUUAGUUUAACUACAACUUAUGAUAUUGACUUGGCCAGCGACAUCAUUGACGAGGAUGAUGAGGUUAAUAUGCUAGCCAUAUAUAUUAUUUAAUUAAUAAGCUAAGGUGGCCAGGAUGAGGAUCUCUCAUCUAAGCAACAAAGAGUUGAAAGCAACCAAAGCAAAAAUAAAACACAUGAAAGCAACAUAGUUGGGAUGACAAGAUGAUCAAGGAAUUUAUUUCAAGUCACCUACGAUGUAUCAGAUAAAGCAAAAUCAUAUGACAAUUUCAAUAAUAACACGAUCCAAUAAAUCUUCAAAAGAAAUGAUGAACUAUGAAGUUUUGUUAAUCAUAUUUGAAGAAGAAGACGAGGAAAAUACUUCAGGUUACGUUACACGGGGAAAAACUAUUUCUUUAAUUUCUGCAUAUAUAAAAUGAUGUUUGAGGUUGAUAAAUCAAUUUUAUUCUUAGAUGUUUUAAUUGAUAGUAUCAUCCUAGAACGUAUUAUAAACUUUAUGAUGAUUAUAGAAUAACUAGUUUUCUCGCUCUUAUUUUCUUGAUGCUUAUUAAUUAACUAGCAACAAGGAGAGCCUCCAAAGCAAAGUCAUCAUAGUGGCAUGUGUUUGAGAAUGUUUGAUCAGUUGGUAAAUCAAACACAUAAAAAAAACUUACAACACUACAAAAACACUAAAAUUAUCAACCAAAUACACUGUUUCAACCAAAAAGAAUGAAAAAUAAAACAACCCCAGAAAAACUCCCAACUGAUUUCAGCAUAAUAUAUACAUGCAUAGUUUAGCCUCCAAUGUUAAGUCAUCAUAGUGUUGUAUGUUUGAUCAUCCAGUAAAACAAACAAACAAACAAUGCAAGCUUAUAGCACUACAAAAACACUAAUGUCAGCAAAGAAAAACAUUGUUUCAACCACAAAGAAUGAAAACAAAGGAACCCCAGAAAAACUCCUUAUGUGAUUUAAGCAUAAUAUACCUACAUAGUUUAGCCUCCAAAGUGAAGUCAUCAUAGUGUAACAUAUUUGAUCAUAUAGUCAAACAAACAGACAAUACAAACUUAUAUCACUACAAAAAAACACUAAAAUUAGCAAAGAAACACAUUUUUUCAACCACCAAAACUAUAAAACAAAACAACCCCACAUAAACUCCCAACUGAUUUAAGCAUAAUAUAACCAUUCAUAGUCACUGCAAUUCAAGAACAGCCGAUCAGCUUGAAGCAAUUUCCAAAAAGACUCUUAUCUUUAUGAUAAAUAACCUUUACCCAGAUGAUCAAUAAGUUGAAUUAGUCAAAAAUUUGAAGACCCAUAAUCACUGUUUCCACAAUAAAUAAGAAAAAAUAUGAAAAAAAUCAGUUCUUGGGUACCUAAAAGUGGUGGAGUUUUAAUCGAUCUUUAUCUCUUUUUCUUUAAUUAAAUUACUUUCUUCUUCUUUCUUGAUAAUUCUGCGUUGAAUAUUUACGCAAUAUACACCUAGUUCAGUGUGUUUUACAUAUAAAAAUACAUGAAAAUUAAAGGAUUGCUGAUGAUAGAUAAUGAUGAAAACACAGUAAGAAGGAAGCACUUGGGUGGGGGUGGGGUGGAAGUAAUUAUGUGUAUAAUGAAGUUUUUAAGAGUAAACGAAACAAAUUAUAUGUAAUAAGGUCUCUAUUAUCAUCAUGGUUCGGUUAGGAAUGAGUUAUUUUGGGAUAAAAAUUUUAUUAUAUGUAUAUAAGAUAACUUGUAUCAUUAUUAUAAUAAAAAUAAUAAAAUAAAUAAUUCAAGACUACUUCAUAUUUACAAUCAGAUAUAUAUAAUAAAAUAAUUCUAUAUUUUAUUUUGAGAUUCUUAUACGCUAUUUAUAUUAAAUAAUUUUUAAAUAAUUCGAUGGAAAUAAAAUAAUAUAUAUCUAAAUACAUGAGGUAUAUAAGGUUAAUGAAAUUACUUUGUUAUAAAUAAAUUAUUAUCAUACAUAGUUUUUUUUUGGGAGUACAUGUAUAUGUAAUAAAAUUGGCACAUACAUGUGAUACAAUUGACAAGAAGGUCUGAGAGAGAAAAAUUGAUGUCAAAGCAAUAAACAAAAAUUUAUCAUCAAAAUAAUUAAUAAACACAAAUUUAUCAUCAAAAUAAAAAAAAAAAUUGAUGUGAGAGAAAUGAUUAAAUAUACAUCUAAAAAAAUUGAUGUGAGAGAAAUGAUUAAAUAUACAUCUAUAUAUCUUCUGUGUCAAUUAAAAAUUCUAAAAGAAUAAAAAAAUAAUUUAUAUUCCCCUUUGAUUGAAAGAUAUAUCUAAAUUUUUUUGUGCAAAUGAUAAAAUUAUAAAUAUAACACUUUUAAAACAAAGAAUAUAAUUUUCCUAAAUCGUAUACUUAUUAAAACUUUUUCCACUGUAACAAUAACAAAUCACGAUAAAUAAAAGGUAUGUAAUAAAGUAAAAUCAAUUUCGCUAUGUUUAUAAAAAUUAUAAUUUGAUAUACUUGUCCUACUUGAACCAAAAUGAUAAAACAAAAUGAUUUUUAGAUCUAUGGUUAAUUUAAUGAUUGAUCAAUAAUAAUAAUAAUAAUUUUUGCUUAGAACUGUAGUUUUAUGAACAAUGUAGAAUUAUAACAUAAAAAAUAUACGUACCGAUGAAAGAGAGAGAAAGCGAUUUGCUCAUUGACAGAACUCAAAGAUGAUUCGGCUUCUCUCUCAGAGGCUGUUUAUAUAAGAAAUUUUGUGACCUAAGUAAUUAUUAUUAUCAUUAUUAUUUUUUGUCGUCUAUUGAAUUUUAAGAAUUGAUAUCAAAUCUUAUUUUAAUCUCAUUAGAAAAUGUAACUAAAAUGACGUGUUAAUUAUGACCAAAUUUACUACGCUAAGAUACCCAAACUUUGUGGAAAGUCUAUUUACCCCCUCCCGAGCUAUGAUUGAAGACUAUAUUGAACUAAAUUAUAUAUUUCUAGAUUCUAAGGUGAUGCACAAAAUAUAGUUCACUAUUUUUGAGGGAGUAAAAAAUAAAUUUAUAUAUAUAUAUAUAUAUAACACAUGUUUUUGUUGAAUUAUAAUUAUCCUAAUCAAUUUAUAAAAUAUUGCAUGGGACAAUCGUGCGAAGCACGUGUUCAUAUACUAGUUUAUGAACACGUGCUUCGCACGAUUGUCCCAUGCAAUAUUUUAUAAAUUGAUUAGGAUAAUUAUAAUUCAACAAAAACAUGUGUGUAAUGAGUACUAAAAUGGAACAAUCUCAAAUAAUUAUUAUGACAAUAUUUCUUUUAUAGAACACUAAAUUAAAGAAGACUAAUAGAGAGUAAAUAUAAAAAAACUAAACAUGAAAGAAAAAAUCAGCAUACACAUUGUUCUUUAAGACUUUAAUCAUAACAAUAUAUACAUGGAAAAAGAAUACAAAAUCAGUACAUAAUUUACCGACUUUUUGUCACCUUCUCUCAUAUCCAAUCAAAAUUCAAAAGUCUUCUCCAUCAAGUCAAACAAAAGUAUAAAUCAAAUAGAAAAACGGAAGGUUAUGACUUAUGAAUAUUAAUAAUGAUAAUUCAAUAGGUAAUUAAAUAUAAUCUCUGUCAAUUAGUUUAAACUUAAAUCAUAUAAAUAUUGUUAAAACUUGUAGUGAGAUACACACCAAAACUUGAAAAAAGAAAAUAUAAAUUCAAUUAGCAAAAUAUGAAAUGAAUACAAAAAUCUAUGUACAGAUCAAACUUUAUUAUAUGAAGGGAACUAUAUAAUAAUCAUAUUGGCUUUGUUCGACUGUCUCUAUAUUUGUAUCAUCUCUUAUUAGUUGUGUUUCAUAUAAAAACAUUAUUAGGGGAGGAGAUACUAAAGGUAAAAAAUAAACACCUACUUCAAGAUCAUAAAUGUACUAAGAUUAUAUUAUAACAAAUUCACACAGUAUUAGAGAAUUCAAAUAAAAUCAUAAUUUAUAAGGAGAAAGUGAAACAAUUUUUUAUUCAAAUAGUAUUGGAGAAACUCAAAUUGAGUCAUAUAAUAUAUAAGGAGAAACUGAGAUAAUUUUUAUUCAAACUCAAAUUAUGUAAAAUCUAUUGUAUAUCUAACAAAUCGAAAUCCUCAAUAUAUUGAUAAGAACAGUUGAAUACGGUUACAACCUUAAGAUUCUGAUUGCAAUAAUCAAACUACCAAAUCAUAAUGGAAAUAUUGAAAUAACAAAUAAUUAAAGAUAGAAGAAGAACGGAGAUGACAAACUUUAGACUCUAGAAGAAGAUGAGACGAAAAACAUUUUCUUCAAUAUGCAUAAUCCCUAAAUCAGUGACCGUUGCACCUUUUGAUGGAACCAUUCUCACGUCCACUACUCGACCCGUAUCCCAAAUUAACCUGACCCUAUUGCUUGUUCUAGGCCUAAUAGCCCUUGUCAUCCCAAUAACUACUAGUGUGACAUGGGUAUCCACAUUAGGUUGAACUUAGUUCAUAACGAUAUAUGUCCUAAAACUUUGAUUUAAAGGAGUUGUCAUUAGCUUGAAGCAUGAAAGAUGCGUAAUUGAAAUCAUUAACCUAAGUAAAGCUAACAAAAAUCAAAACAAAAUCAAGAUUAAUAUAACAUAACCACUCCAAAAUACUUCAUAAUCAUCAAGAACUUGCAAAUUUGAAAUAAUCAAUAUUAUAACCUAAAGAAAUGAAUAAGUCUAUAAAAUAUUUUAAGAAACUAAAAUAAAAUUACUUACGCUCUCUUUGAAACUUUAAACCUCAUAUUACAAAUGCACAAUUGAUGUGGUAAUCUUGAUGCCCCCAAAGCUGAGAAAGAAAAUAUGACAAACAUAAAUAUAAUUAGAUGUGAUAUACAUAUAAAUCAUGAAAUCUAAAAUUAAAAUAAUGUGAAUAUUUGUAUUUAUAAAUUUGAAAAAAUCAUCUUUAUUCAAUAUAGGCAAAUGAAGAGACAAGAGUUUUAAGAAACUAAUUAAGUGGGUUUCAAAAACAUAUAAUUAUCUUUUUAUCUUCCAUUUUCUUUAAUGUCUUAAAUUUCACAUUUAAUUGGAUAAUGUAUUUAAAUAAAAAAAAUUUUGGACGUCUUAAAAUAUUGAUUUAGUUCGGAAAGGUCUUAAAAUAAUGUUAAUGGUUGACUAUGAUAAAUAAUGUAAUGUGACUGACUUUUCAUAUUUUCCAGUUUUUUGUGAUUUUUAGCAAGUUUAGAGGUAAUUAAAGUUUAAUAUCAAUUAAUGAGAUGCUAUAUAAUUUUUAUUAUGUAUAGAGAUAAAUUGGUAAUUUAACUUUACACUUUAGAGCUUUCCAGUUAUAAUAAUAUUAGUUUUUGGAAUACGUGCAUUGCACGUGUAUCCCAUGUUAUUUAAUACCAAACAUUUCAAAUGAUAUAAUUAUUUUAGAAUAAUUGAUGCAUUAUACAAUAUUUAAAGGAUAAAAAUGAUGUUUCUGGUAAAACAUUCAACUAAGGUUGCAACUUGCAAAGAUCAAUAUAAUCCGAAGAAUUUCUGAUUGUAUUGAUAAAAAAAAUUCUUUUAAUCAUGUGGGAUACACUAUAUUUAUUGGUAAAAAAAAAGAUUACUACUUCAAUUAUAUGAUUUGUCAAGAUUGUCAAAUAUCUAACACUAUAUUUCCAUACAAAAUGAAAGAAGUUAAUGAAACAAACCAAUAUAUUAAUAAGAAAAAAAAAUGACCAAUGAAUAAAAGAUUACAUAAGAACUAUAAGAUGUGAAAUUAUAAAGUGUAAUGGAUUAAUAUUUUCUAUUCAAUUUAUAAAGAGAGAAAUUGUGUAUAUGAAAGGUUGUGAAUGAAUGUAUUUAAUUGUAGAAGCUAAAAAGUUUAGCAAUUAAAGUCAUUAAGAAGUGAAAAAUAAUAAAUUGUGACAUCUAACCAUGUACUCUCUUCAAUUAAAUAUUGAUAUUGUAUGAAUCUCUCCAUAUGCUCUAACCUCUCUCUUCAUAUGCUCUAAUAUUAAGUUUUUUUUAAUUUAAAACGAUAAUUAUUUUAAGUGCACAAAUUUCAGCAAUUAAGAAAAAAAAUUGUAAUGCUACUCAAUGAUAAUGGCAAAAGGAAUACUCAUAAAUGCACUUCAAAUUAUUACGGUAACAUUUUAGUGGUAUGUAAAAAAAAUUUAUGUUAUAGAACUUCAAUUACUUUUAAUAAUAAUAAUUAUUAUAAUAAUCAAUAAUAAUAAUAUAAUGUUAUUAUUGUAGUAACUCAACUAUAUAGGGUUAUUUUGGUAUUUCAACUUUCAACUUAUAAUAAUAAUAAUAUAAUUGUUAUAAAAUCAAGCUCAUGACAAUAUAAAUAUAAAGAGAUGAAGACAAGAGAAGUAAAAUGGAAGAUAAGACUUUCUUCUUAUUCAAGUGUAUAUUAUAAUGGUGAAUGAUAUCUCUAUUUAUAGGUAGAGAAAUCAACCAAAAGGUCACCAUGUUUAAUGUCACAUUAGUAGAUACAUUUCUAUCCCAAAAAGAUUCAUCACCUUGGGAAUACAUAUCCAUGAUAAGGAUAAGUUUAUGAUAAGCUUAAUGGACAAUCCACUCAAUUCAAUGUAUUUAUAACACUCCCCCUUGGAUGUCCAUAGAUAAUGUGUCUCGUUAAAAUCUUACUAGGAAAAACCUUGUAGGAAAAAAUUCUAGUGAAGGAAAAAGAGUACACAUAUCUUUUGAUACGCACUAUUUGUUGCCUCAUUAAAAACCUUGCCAGGAAAACCCAGUGGGAAAAAACCUCGGUCAAGGGAAAAAGAGUGCAACGCGUAUUAUACUCCCCCUGAUUAAAACAUCACUUAAUUUCUUGUGACGAUGUCUCCAAUCUUCGUACAUUGUGGUUAGUAUAUUCUUUUUUUCAAAGAAAAAUCACACAUUUCUUGAAUAUGGUGUGUCAUUUAUCUCAAUCAGAUGUUUUUUCGACUUGCUUCAUGGAGGACUUUUAUAUCUGCAUAGCAACAUUUGCUUCAUUGAUCGCCAGGAUAUUAUUGUGCCUCCACAUGCAAACACAUAGCGUGCUUGAGAUAGAACUUUAUGCGGAUCAGAUAAAUAUUCUGCAUCUGCGUAAUCAAUAAAUUAUGUCUUGGAUUCCUCGGGAUAGAAUAAACCCAUAACUAUGGUCCUUCGAGGAUAUUCAAUCAUGUGCUCAACACCAUUUCAAUGUCCUUUUAUCGGGGAGAAACUGAAUCUUGCCAGUAAAUUUACUGCAAAACAUAUAUCUGGUCAAAUAUUGUUAGUAAGAUGCACUAGUGCCCUGAUUGCACCAAGAUAGAGUUUCAUCACCAAGAAACUCUUCAUCCUUCUUUUGAGAUCAAACUGAAUCAUCAUUUAUGACAAGUGAUCUCAUAAUCAUUGGGGUACUCAAUGAAUGCGAUAUAUCCACAUAAAAUUGCAUCAAAAUUUUUCAGUGUAUGUGCACUGUUAGACAAAUAUUUUAUUUGUCAAAUUAUCAAUCUGUAGGUCAAGACAAAAUUUUGUCUUACCAAGACCUUUUCAUAAAAAUACAAGGACAAUUAGGGUCAUUCUUUUGUACCCUUUUUCUUCCUUGACUAUUUCAAUCAAUAUAAGGAUUCUUGAAGCUUU